AGUGACUUUUUGUAACAUACCAGAUUUUGGUAUAAAAAAAUAAAAAAAUAAAAAUAAUAUGAGAAACUAUUUUUAUUGGAUUUAGAGGAGUAAAAUAUAAGUCAGAAGUGACUUGUACUGAAAUCGGAAUGAAAACAGAAGAUUUAGAAUUUUCUGUUGGAAACAGAACAGGUAAAUUUGCAGAAAAUGUACAGUGUCAGAAAAUUAUAAAAACUGGAGGAUAAGUCAGAAUUAUUUUUAUGAGGCUAGAUUUAAAGUUUCAUAUCAUUCUGACACCCGGAAGGUGAAAAAUAAAAUCCGACAACUAUCUGAUAAAGAUUACAGUUCGGUACAGUUUUCGGUGACCAAACGGGGUCAAAACUGAAAUAUUAAAAUUUUUUUGGACUCGUUAAGUAAAACCGAACAUGACUGUCAAAUUUGAGCUCAAACAAAUAUUCAGGGAGCCCCGGCGAAAGAUAUCAGAUUUCGAGCUGCCCAAAGGUGAAUAGUGUUGAGGGGCCAUUAGUGUAAUAGAGGCUUUUUCUUCUCCCUCAGCCCGAGCAGCACAUACGACACACACACACACACACACACACACACACACACACACACACACACGCAUGGAGAGGGGGGGAGAAACCCUCCUUUCUCUCUCUAAAGAUCUCUCUCAUCUCUCUAUUUCUCUCGCUCAAAUUCGCGGCGUUGGCGGAGAGCGAGUUUGCAAACGCGUUGGAGGCGACGGAUCGAGCUUUCGUGCACCCGUUGGAGCGGCGUGUUUUCGUCGCAGCGUUCACGUUUUGGUAAGAGUUUGGAAUUUUGUUUAAAUCCUUCAUGAAUGAUGUUCUAGUAGUAUCUAGAGUGUUCUAAACAUGUUUUCUCCAUUUAAUUUGGAUUAUUUGGAAGUUAAUUGCAUGUUACGGCUCCGAAUGGGGUUUUGUAAAAUAUAAGGGUGUGAUCUAAUUUGACCCUCCGUAAAUCUAAUUGCUAGGUAAAUGAACGCGUUGGCGAAGUCGGUUCGGCGAUUCGUCGAGCCGUUGUAAAGAUAUUAAAGAAACGGACGUUUAAGCUUCGUUUCCGCCUGGAGGGCGGAGGCGACAUCGUAAAGUCAUGAAAACGGAUUUGGAGCACCGUGGCACAUAACCGAAGACCUAUAAUUUUCGGUGCCGCAAUUCGACGCACGGUUGGUGAGUAUUAGCAAAAUCGGGCCGAACCGGACACGGGUGCCGCGGGAGGCCGAUUGCAAGUGUCGACAAGCAAUCGGAAAGCGAUUUGAGGUGAGUUGUGUUUACCGAAGCGACUAGGUCGCCUGUAUGUCUAAGAUAAGUGGUAAUCCUUGAUGCAUAUUAUGGUAGCUAGUGGUAGAAUGUAUAAAUGCAUGAAAUGAAUGCUUUGUUAGGCUACCAAAUAAUGCAUAUGGUCAUAAUGUGAGAAUACUAAGUAAUGCCUAAUGACAUAGUGUAAAUAAUGCUAAGUGGAAAGCAUAAAGUAAAUGACAUAUGUUGGUCAUGUUGCAUGUAUAGAAAUGCUAAAAUAAGAACGCUAAGUGGAUGCAUAUAGUAAAUGCUAAAGGGAAUGCAUGCUAAAGAUGUAAUAUAGAAAUGCUGGAAUGCAUGAUGAUGUAAUAUAAAUGAAUGCUAGUUUGGAUAAGCAUGUCAUAUAAAUGCUAGAUAAUGCAUGUUAAUUAUCUAAAGUAAGAUGCUAAGAGAUUGUACAUGAAGUGACAUAAUGCAAGAAUGCUAAAUAAAUGCAUGAAUGAUGUGGUAUAGAAAUGCUAGAAUAUAUGCAUUGGUUAUUGUUAGUUGAAUGCAUGUCAUGGAAAUGCUAAAUGUAAACAUGGGGCCAAUACUAAGAUAUACUUGAUGAUCAUGUUGUAGAGAUACUAAUGUUAAGUAAAGGAUAUGGGCAUGUGGACAUAUAUAUAUGCACAUAGAUCGAGUGGCAUUAAACCUAGUGUCUUAAACAUAGGUUGAACAUGAAUGAUAUGAACCUAGAGUUAGUAAACCUAGGUCGGACAUGAAGGAUAUAUGAACCUAGUGUGAAUAUACAUAGGUUGAACAUGAAUGAUAUGAACCUAGUGUUAAAGAACAUAGGUUGGAAUCAUGUGUGGUAUUUAAUCUAGCGUUAAAGAACAUAGGUUGGACAUGAACCUAGUGUUAAAGAAAGUAGUUAAAUAAGGUUUAACCCAAAGUGACAUUGUGGCUUGGUAUUAGCAGUAUAUGCAUGAUUAGGUAAAGACCUAUCAUUGGCAUUGAGGCAAAGAGAUAUGGAACAGAUUGGCUAUACCUCCUCAAAUUGAGGAUGGGAUCGUACUCACAUGUAUCGGUUCCGGCUUGUGCGAGGUCGCUCCUCUACAGGCGGUGUACUCCGGAGUAUAGACGCCACGGGUGAGAGUGCCCGGCGAAGAUCUCUCGGGUGACAGUGCCUUGUGCCUUCCCCGGUAGACGGGAUGGAUCCUUCGGGGGUAUUUCCCAAUGCUAAUCCUGGUAGAUGGAACAUGUGAGAUGUGAGCUUGGGGCGAACUUGAUGAACCUCGAAAAGAUUGGGUAAAGGCCAAAGUGAAUGUGUGAAAGUAUGCAUUAUGAGCUAUGGAUUUGGUAUUCCAGUUGAGUGGAUUUAUGGCUGAGGUGCAUGUGAGACGUCCUUCACCUCGAGUCUGGAUGUGUGCGGUAUUCCGCAAAUGAUUGACUCGAGACCGAGUCGGGUGGUUAGCUCGGCUAGGGUAGAGAAAAACCUUAGGAGCAAAUAACCAAUGAUGUAAAGUGACAAGAUGUGCAAAUUAUGAAAAAGCUAUGGAUAGCAUGAUUGAAAGUAAAAUCAUUUAUUCUACUUGCACAGUUGCAUGGAUUUCAUAUCGCAUAUCGUGAGGCAUAACAUGUAGUUCAAUAUCGGGUAAAUGUAUAAAUAUCUGUUAUAUGUUAUUGGACUAACCUGUUGCAGUGCCUCAUUAGACCUAUUGGUUGAGCUUUUCCCUUGGGUGGCCGUACCCACUGGGAAUCAUGGAGUUUGUUCUCACCCCACGUUGUAUUGGGGUGUUACAGGUUCACACGUGAGUGGCGCGGCGGCGCGAGGCGAGGGCGUAGCUCCGUAGUUAGCGCCCUACUACCUAGACCAAAGAUAGCGGUACCCUGAGUCGGCUAAUUAGGGAUGUAAGAAAACGAAAGGAAUAAGAUUGCAAUAAUUUAUAAUAAAAGCAUGAUUGUAUUUGGAAGUUAAAUGUAAUAUGUAAUUGUAAUGUAAAAUGUAUCUAGUGAAUGCGAAUGCUUGUAAUAACAAGUAGAUUAUAUUUUUGAUACUUCCUUAUGCAAUCUUUGUUUGAAAUGUGUUCCUGAUUGAAACUUCGUACAUUGUAUUGAUUGUGACGCCUUGGACGUACAGGGGAGACUCUGUCCGCGGUACAGGAAAAACUCUCUCCGUUCGGCGGACUGUUGGCGUGUCCGAAACCGAGCAAAUAGGCGGGCUCGGGGCAUGACACUUUUCGUUUUGGUCAUGCUCGGCACCUUUGUUCUCUAACAACAACCUGCACAUUCGCUCGGUGUUACCACACUGUUGACUCCAGACUCGUUUACCCGAAAGGAAAGCGACCGGUGCACCAAUCUCACCGGAUCAGUCACCAUCGCCGUGGUGAUCCAUUGAUUGGGAGUGUUUAGGAAUUAACCACCAAUGACACAUGUCUCAAAUUAUCAACUCUUGAGAAUAUGUAUCAUAAUCUUAUUAAUUCCUUGGACAAUUCAUGGACACAUAUACAACAUGAAUAAAAAUAAGAAUCCAAAUUCAUUCAUAAUAUUUAAAAUUAAAUAUAAAUUAUGUUCUAGAAAGAAUACAUAUAUCAGCCUGGUUGGUUUCUAGGGCAUACAUCUCACAAUAGUUGCACCUACAAUGUAGUAAACACAACUAAAAUAGAGUAACAGAGCUGCUAAAACUGGUAGAUACAUACAUACAUACAUAAUAUAUAUAUAUAUAUAAAGAGAGAGAGAGAGAGAGAGAGAGAGAGAGAGAGAGAGAGAGCGCUAGGCUGCUAUACUAUCGGUAGCACGGACGCCUCCGUUGCUACCAAGUUGUUUUCAAUGAUGUCGCUUCCAAAUUGACGAUCGGCUCCAUUAGAUUUGAUCUACACUAUGGAAAAUAUUUGGAAACUAAAUUUCAUAAUUUUUCGGUAUCAUUUACCUAUCAAACGAGCAGUCUAAAAAUGAACGGCUGAAAAUAAAAAUCUCAUAAAAAAUGAUGAUAGAAGACUUGAAUUUAAAAUCAGAGAUACUGAUCUUACUCUAAAUAGUAAAAAGAAUUUUCUAUAAAAAUUUCAUCUGAUUUGGAUUGUUUUGCACCGUUAAAUUUACAAAUGCAUCACAUCUACCAUUAAAAUUAUCAAUUUUGAGACCUUUUGAUCACUAGCCAAAUGAUGUCGAAAAAUUCUAAAAUUUAGUUCCAAAUACUUUCAAUAGUGUAGAUCAAGUCUAACAGAGCUGAUUUUCGAUUUGAAAGCCGCAUCAUCGAAAACAACUUGGUAGCACGGAACUACCGAUAGUAUAGCAGCCGGACUCUAUAUAUAUAUAUAUAUAUAUAUAUAUAUAUAUAUAUAUAUAAGCCAAUUGUACAUACAUGUCUCCAAAAUGUGUUCUUGUAUAGAAAAAUGGGAAAUACAACAUCAACUCAACUCCUACAUAUCUAUAAAUCUAUAAACUACUAUUAAUCCCCGUGGGAUUCAAACCCUCUCCGUAUUUCAGGAAAAAAAUGGGUCCCACCUCUUCUCUUAAACUGCAGAAUACGUUUAAUAAACCUAUUUUCUCUCUCCUUUUAAUUAAGGUGAUGCUGUUUUGUACGAGGGACUCCUCCGAUUCUCCUUCUCUCCCUCUCAUCCGUCCCUUCGUCUCUUCUCUCUCAAUUUAUUUUUUUAUUCUUCCGCCCGUUUACCUCCCUCUCUUACCCUUUCUUAUGUCCGCCCGUUUUCCUUACCGCAUGCCUCCUCCCUCUCCUUCCCUCUCAUCCUUCCAUAUCCCCUCUUUCCCAAAACACCUCUCCUCCCUCCCUGACCCUCGGCUGAUGUGCGCCCUCCUCACUUCCCUCAGGUACCACCUCCUUCGCUCCUCCGCCCCUUCCGACUCACCUUCGAUGCCCUCGAGGGCCCCUUCCUCGACCACCUCCGCCGCCGCAGCAGCAGCAGCCUCGGGCGCCAUGCAGUGAGGGGAGGAGGACCUUCUCUUAACAGGGCCAUGGCGACGAAGCGGCGCGAGCUCGACAACACGGGGCUGAGGCUCAGCUACGUCGGCUUCGGCACCUCCCCUCUUAGCAACGUAUUCGGCCGCGUCUCCCCUGCCGUCGUGGUCGUUGCCGUGCGCCACGCCCUCGACCUUGGGAUCAACUUCUUCGACACCUUCCCGUCCGUAUCCCUAACUCUAGCCCUAGAUCUCCUUCUUUGUACGAGCUUCGAGGUUCGAUCUUGAUGCGUGGCAGGUACUAUAGGGGGGGCAGUGCUCGGCAAGUGCCUCAGGGAGAUCGGGGCGCCGCAAGAGGAGGUCGUCGUCUCCACCAAGUACGAGCACUACGCAGACGGUUCGACUUUAGUGCCGAGCGCGUGUCGCACGGCGUCAACGAGAGCCUCGCCCGCCUCAAUCUCGACUACGUCAACAUCCUCUAUUGCCACGACAUCGAGUUCGCCCCUUUCGUCGAUCAGGUCCAGUUCCUCCCUUUACCCACUUUUUUUUUUGUAUUUUUGUCCUUUUGGUAUCAAAUUAUCAUAGACUUGGAUUGUUUUGCGAUUUUCUAUCUAUGUGUGUGGAUUGUUUUGCAAUUCAGUGUAUUUGAAUGUUCGUGUGUGCAUGCACACGCGCAUGUGUUGAAAGAUUGGGAUUGGAUUGGACUCCAUUGUUUGCUUUGGCUGUUAUCCUUAGUCUUAUGGCUCAUAAGUAAAUUACGAAGAGUAUAUUUCUAUACAUAGCGAAUGCAUUCUGAUUUGCAAUUUCACCCAAAUCACGAAUUUGGAGGAUUCCGAGCAAAGUGUAAUCCUCUGGUCCGAGAACUUAUCUGUCCAUGAUUUAUAAUAAUCUUCUCUAAAUUAGUUGGAUUUCGGUAAGUGCAAGCUAAUCCGAACUCUUUGAGGUUGGUUUGCUGUCAAUUGAAUUUCACAACCAUAUGAAAAUUCGUCUAAUAGUAUAUUUUGAUUUCUAGUAGAUGUGAAUUAGGGCAAAAUUGAGAAGUAAACAAUGGAGUUCAUUCCAAGCAAUGGAUUUUGACUCCUAAUUGAUUCGUUUUAUUCUCUAAUUGCAAAUCAAUUAAGUUUCUACAUAUGCUUCGGGAGCUAGUACGCCCCGUCCGUAGUUUUCCUCUCUCUCUCUCUCUCUCUCUCUCUCUUCCUAAGGUGGUCUCUCUCUCUCUCUAUUAUAAUAAGUCAAAACAAAGCAUACUAGGGGAAAAGAGAAAAUAACACUACAUGUAAUAUCUUAACAGUUAUUGUUGCACAUGCAUGCUCUCUCUCUAAAUCAUCGUGCAAUAUAAAGACAUUGUAUUGUCAAAAAAAAUUAUAAAGACAUUGUAUAUUUAUUAUUUUUUAUAAUCUGUUCUUAUUUUUACUGAAUAUGUCUCAAGUGUUUUGGAUGUAUUCCGCAAUAGUUAACUGAUGCUGAGAUUGUGUAUCAUCAUAUGAUCAGUUCGGGACUGUAGUAGGCUUAGUUGCCUAAAAUUAUUAGAUUGUUUUCCAUUCCUGUACUUUUGGAUUUGGUUUAAUUCGCAGGAACGGUAGGCCAAAUCCGUUUGCCCAAGGAAUGGUUUGUCGCUGCGGAGAUCGAGCUUGAGCACACCCCUGUUGUCUACCUUUGUAUGCAUCUCCUUCUCUUCCUCUCUCUUUCUUCCUCUGUUUCUAUGUGCUCUAACAAUCCCUACCUAAUUUAAUAGAAGAAACGAUAUAAAGAGAGAACAAGGGUGGUCAAUGAUGGUCUUUUAAUUUAGUUUCUUUGUUUAUGAACUUUUCAAGUGGUAGGUGAAUAUUUUUUUGCAAAAUUUGUUUUACUAUUUUUCGAAAAACUUGGUAAUUAACUUCCCUCAAUAUGUUCAAUUUUCACCUUAAUAUAUAUGAUCCAACCAUUCACAAUAAUGUGAAAUUCCAUCUUUCUAACACCUAUUUAAAAAUUAUUAAAAUACUAACUGUUGGUAUAGAUAUUCAAUGAUUUAUUAUGGCUAGGUAUAUUAACUAACUUUUGUUUUUUUUCCCUUUAUUAUUGCAGCCUUUAUUUCUGGGAGAAAGUGGGGUUGAUCAGCUGAUGUAAAUUAUGUCAUUGCAAAAUUUAAUUCAUUUCCAACACGCAUGCAUAUUUAAAUUUAAACUUAAACAAAGUAUUUAAUAUUUAAAUAAAACUGAACAUUUUCCAAUUGAUUGUUGCUUUUGCGAAAGAUUUUGGGUACCCCAACGUGAUAAGAGAUUAAAGGCAUGAAUCCAAACUAUUCCAACACUCUCCUAAUUUGCACUGCAUGGCUGUAAGAUUUUUUGUAACUUCUAUUUUAUAUGCUUGCGCUCUAAUUGUACUUGCUGCUUUUAUUUAUCUUUUAAUAUUUAUUUGUUUUGUUAAAAGUUUGAAAGUAAAGUGAGUAAAUCAGAAAGUCAACAUUCAGUUAUAUGGAAAGCUUUUCUUCUAUCAUUUAUUUUUGAGAUUUUAUGGACUUACUCUAAUUACCAAAAUAAAGAGUAACUUCAAUUUUUUAUCUCUCCAAUGAGAUAUUUUGCUUUUAGUAAAUUGUGUGGAAACUCUAAGCUAAGUUAUGAAAUUGUCUACAUUGCUAGGGUCCAUGAUUGUCCUAAUAAGGGCUUUGUAAAUCCCUUCGCCGAAUUUCAACAAGAAGUAAGCCAAGUUAUGCAAUUGUCCAUAGCACAAAGAACAUCAUGGAAUUCUUAGUUCUAAAGGAGGUAAUACACAUUCUACGAUUUUCUAUUAAUUUAUUAUUGUCCUAUUUUAGUGUACCAGACUAGACAAAAUGUUAAAAUUUCUUCUCAACUAUUUGGACGCACUAGGCUUGGAUGUUGUUUUUUUCCAGCUUGUUUGGCAUUUUUCAUUUCUUUUAUAUAUUUCACUAAUAUCUAGAACUUUUUUAAUGUAAAACAUAAAUCAAUAAAAAUUUCAUAGUAAGACUUUUGAAAAAUGAUUUCUUCUGUUUUCUUAGGGUUAUACUAUUUCAUCCUUAUAAUUGUAUUUUUCAUAUUUAUAUUUUUUUUGUUUCUUUUAUUGCUUACCAAUGAACCAUAUUAAUUUGUAUUUUUUUUUCAUGUUGUUUAACUUUUUUUAAAUUUUUAUCAAUUACUUGAAUAAAUAUACAAUACAUGAUAUUUUUGUACCAUAAUUCUAUUUGAAGUUUUUGUAACUCUGUAAGUUGAUAACUCUUACGCAGACUGUAACCAAGGAAGUAAUUGCCGGGCUGAAAGAAGUUUACAAAGCUCUACAAAUGCAGAUGCAAUGUUCGGUGUAGGUCUAUUCUUUUUUUGGUAGUUUUCGAGUGCAAAAUGACAACAUAUUUCUUUAAUGUUAUUUCUUGAACUUUUAUUAAAUUAUUGUUCUCUUUAUUAUAUUAAUUUUCUAACAAACUUAUGAAAAGGGGUGAUUCCUAUUGAUCUUAGUUGUGGAACUAAAUCAAGAGAGUAAAAGAAUUUAAUUCAUAGGUUUUAUUUCUUUAUUAUUGAAAUUAAAUCAAUUCUACAUCCGUCCAUAAAGAAGUUAUUUAAAAUACACAACAAUCGACAGAGUAAAGUUAUUAAGAGCACCGGUUAAGUUGUCAUACUGCAUCAAUAGGCUAAAUAAAGUAUACAGGUUAUUGGGCUGUGGGUGAAAACUGAUUUUUUUACGAUUAAGCGGUGGGCCUUACUGAAAUUAAAACAAAUAGCUGAAAUUGGCUAUUAUUAUUUUCAAAUUUGUUUACAUGACUAUUGUGUAUUCUUUCAUACUUUUUCAUUAAUUUUCUUUAUAUUUCGUAUUAAUUCUGUGAUGGUAUAAUAAUUUUGAUAUCCAUCGGCAAGUGUCAUAAUUAUUGGCUUUCAAAAAAAGAAAAAUCAAAUUUGGAUCAGGAAAGAGAAGAGAGAGAAGAGGACGGAUGAACCUCUUAAUAUGAUUAGUUAAAUCUAAAUUUGAGACAAUUGAAUUUGCCCUUCGUUAUUUAUUAUUCUUCUUUCACAAGAUUUCAAAUAUAUUUUUAAGAUAUCUAUGUUCUUUCUUUUCCUUUUUUUUUUUUGUUCUCUAUUGAAUUGUAUUACUAUUUUAAAAAAAUUUAAUGUAUGUUUUACAUUUUUAACCUAUCAAAUGUGGUUUUAUCAUGCUGUAUUUUAAUGUAUGUUUUACAGUUUUAAAUUUUUAAUCAAUUAAAUAUGGUUAUAUCAUGCUAUUUCUUCUUUACGUUUUUAUUUGUUUAUUUAUUUUGCAAAAUUUUGCUAUAACAAUUUUAUUUUUAUUUAUUUAUAUAUAAUUCAUAAAUUUUUAUUAUGCCAAUUGCUAUCCGCCGCAUCGCGCGGGUCCUACACUAGUAAAUAUCAUUAAAUGUACAUGGCCACAAAGAGACUAUCUCCAUAAGGGUAUAUAUAAAAGCCAAUUGUACACACGUCUCCAAAAUGUGCUCUUGUAUAGAAAAAUGGGAAAUACAACAUCAACUCAACUCCUACAUAUAAAUAUCACUAAAUGUACAUGGCCACAAAGAGACUAUCUCCAUAAGGGUACUCGCACACCAACCGGGGUAAGACAGGAAUCUAGCUUGCGACUCCCUUACCUCGAUUAGCAGUAGCAACGGAUGACUCUACAAGAAAAUGGGUAAUAGCGGGUGUGAGAACCACUAUAAAAUAAAGUAGCUCUCAAUGGAUACCAUCACCGAUCCCAACGACCUACCCACUAAGUUUACGAGAGUAACAGUAUAGUUGAUAGGUAAGAAAUAGUAAAGUAAACUGUACUGAAACUCUACAGCUACAAUGCUUUUACACUACCACUAUGCACAACAAGCUCUCUAUAAACAUAAGUCACACUAGCAACAGUUGACAACACUAAUCCAAUCCAAAGAAAGCGCCAAUUCAGCCUGUGCUUAAGCUACACCAUACACCACCCACAGGGGUGACCGGUCCAAGUGUGAUACCCAACAUGACUGCUACGACCAGAACGCAAAAAGGCCUCACUUCGGAGUGGCACUCAGGGGAGCUAACAACCGAGCAGACAAGCGUCCUUUGUCAAGCUCAAACAGGCUCUCUCAGGCUGUGAUCUAUGCAAAUGCUCAAAUGGGUGAAAACACUAGUACCCAUGUACCCUUAGUACAAUCCGAUACAAAUGUAUAGAUUUGGACUCACCGUCAGUCCCGACGACACCCGUAACUCUACUAUGAAAGUGAGCUUGACAUCCCAGCACAACUGUAACCUCCACUUACACUAAUUCCAGUAUCCACGACGUACUAACAGUGAUGAUUUUAAAGUGUAAUCAACUCCUAGAACUAACUCUGUUAACUUUUCGAAAUAUGUAAAGUGUAGGUUUUGUGAGUUUUCUCCCAAGUCAAGUCCCAGCUUAGUAUGUAAAAUUAAUGUAAAAUUAUUAACUCAAGCCACAAAUUUAGAUUCCCUCUAAAAGCAUGCAAAUCUACCAUUUUGAGCUAUUAAAUAGGAUAUUUAAUAUAAAACAAUGCAUUCUAAAAUCUCUACAAAUUAGGAGGGAUUUCGAAGACUUCGGUAAACAUCAACCUACCUCAAACGCAACUCUUACAACGCCAAGAAGUCGAUUGAAUAGUCAAAGGAUCAAAACUAUGCCAACUGAAAGAAAUCAGGUUGAAACCUCAAAUUCGGAUCCACCUGCAGCCUAUUUUGGGUGCCUAGAACUAGAGCCCAGAUCAACAACACUACUUCACAAGGCUGCAAGAAUCCAAGUUGAAAUUCAACUCUAAUUCUGGAUUCAAAUUCAGAAAAACUCAACUAAACUCACCCAUAGAUAGUAAGGAACUUAGUCUUUAGCUUUCUACAAAAUCAAGCCUCAAAUACCAUCAAAAUGCCUGAAGUGGCAAUUCAAAUCCAUGAAAUGGAGGCCCAAAACCUGCAUCUAGAUCGUUAGCACUAAAAUAACCAAGUGUAAUUGAGCUUCAAUCUGGAGUUUCUAACCUAUGAAGUCAAUGGAAAGGGAUCCAAAACCUCCAGGAAUGUGGGGAUAAUCAAUCUAAAUCCAACAAUUAGCUCUCCACCAAAUAUGGAAUCAAAAUUCCAAAGAUUUCAUCAAAACUCUAAAACUUCAUCUUAAAGCUUGAUUUCAUCAAUUCCAGCUUAUUACUCACCUUCCAAUCUGAAUGUUUUGGUGAGAAAGGCUUCUAAUCCAGUGAGAAAAGUUGAGAGAUCAAUCCACCCUCCAAAAAUCUAGCCCAAAAGAAUUUGGAUCCAUAAAAUCAACUAGAAACCCAAUUUCAGCUCUAAAACACUAAGUUCUAUUGUGACACUGUCACGCCCCGGGGCCGAUUUAAAAGCCAUUACCAUUUUUAAAACUCAGAGUCACGGAAGAUGUACCAUUUUUUUUUUUUUUCAACCUGGCCCACGUGACGUACAGACCCGCCACAAAUACAAAGUUCCUCUGUCCACUCGGACAGAGUCUUCUUUGUAUUUGCACGGCGUACCAAUGAUACAACAGGAUCUUAACUACAAUCUACAAUUACCAAUCAACAACCAAUUCAUGAUAUGCAUUUUCAUACAGCUAACAAUCCUUAGAGAUGAUGCAUGCCUCUAAGCACUCCUUAGGCGCUGGAUGAUGCGAUGCACAGUACAACAAUCAUCCUAUUUAAAAGUGCUCCCCACACGGAAGCUUUUAUUUUUUUAAACUCUAAUUCAUUCAUCAUGAAAAACCAUUCGAAAACCUUUUUAAAACUGUUUCCUACAUGGAAACUCUAUUUUGAAAAUCAACUACCUCGAGGGGUAGAAAACCAUGAUAUGUAAAUACAAGAAAAUCCGAUAUCUAUAAAAUCAACAUCCAAAUCCACAAACCUCAGUUCACAUGCAUAAAUAACGAAAGCAUCCACAGAUCUACCAAAACCAGAUCACCAAUAUUCAAACAAUCAUAAAGAUCAGCUAACUGAACCAUUAUUUAAAUGACUACUAAAGGCGGGAAAGAAAUACAACCAGGGUGGCGAUCGCUAUACCAGACUAGCUAGAUCGUCCUCUCGUCGAGCCCAAAAUCCAACUCCUCGUCUAUGUCACCUGGGGGGAAAUGGGGGGUGAGAAACCGCAACCAUGAUUUUCUCAGUGGGUACGACAGAGCCACGAAGGCAAGCCGUAAUCACCGGAAACCAAAGGAGAUAGAUAAACAAAUAUAGAUGCUAAUAUAUGAAAACGAACUACAGUAGCUAUAACAGAUAUGAACAUGAUAUGAUGUAAAAGCAACUACAGUAGUAAUAGAAACAGGAUAAUAACUGAGCAAGAAUGAAACUACUACUGUAACCAAAAACUCAACUGAUCAGAUGCCUCAAAGGUGAAUAGUCCAAAACCAAACCCAAUCUGAUACUGCUAUAUUGGUCCGCAGACCUCAAGCGUUGCCUGUCACAGAGCAGACACUGCGAGCUUAUUCAUGCGUCACCGACGACCUAUCCGGAUACGUACACCCCUUGGUUGGUGGCCAAACCAACCUGGUGUCUAGAAUAUACAGUGCUGUGACUAAAUCAUGCUGAUAUGCUCAAACAAAACCAGCAAAAAGAGACCGGUGCCAUGGCCAAAGCCAGGUGCAAGGGCGUACAACGCCGAACCACGAUCAACCAGAUCGAAACACAUGACAAGAGAGUCGAUGUGUUGCCUGGACCCAAGGUCCACAGAGAUGCAAUAUACGAGUGCAAGCCUGCUCUACAUGUCUAUCCACAACUAUACAAAUGCAAUCAACGGAAUACGAUAAACAAGCGAUAAACAAUCAACUGACAUGUAGAGACUACGAUACUGAUAUGAAAGAACAGAGGAAGGGUGAAACGAUCCCACCGACUACCAGCUCGAAGCACCCACCUGUCACUGUCGCGUCGGAACACUGGGUACGCACAAGUCGACCGGACCUACGAAGAUCCAACGGGUCAGUAACCAACCCACUCACCUGAAGUGCACUAUCUCACAAACCCCCACACAGAUCCCCGUAUCGGUUUCCCAAAACCGAUCAUCGUAACUCACCGAAAGUCCCAAAAACCACACCGGGACGUCGUCGGGACCCACUAAGUGUCCCGAAACUCACCGACUCGUGUCACGAGUCACCUGCUGCUCCAGAAUACUCCGAUUUGGAUGUUUUGGAAGCAAACACAAGAUAACAUCACUAUACAAUUAUCGCCGGAUAAUUGUACGAAUCUGGAUUCCCGAAAGUGUCUAUUUCGACACCGGAACCCACCGUCGCUCACCCAUCAUCAUCGAACCCACAAAAUGAUGAUGGUGACUAGCCAACAAGGCUCAGCGAUAAAUUACAGGAUAACCAAUCCACAUCGGAAGAAAUCCGAACCGAAACCGCGUUCUUUCGGCGAAUUUCGCCGAAAAACGCGCCGAAAUCGACUUUUUGAUUUCCGCGAAAGCUACAGGAUCAUGGACAAUCAGUCCAAAGGUCAAACACGCUCACGUGCACUGCCCACAGUAGCCAUAAGGAGCACAAAUGCAUAAAAGACCCUCAAUUUACAUAAAAUCCUAUUAUUUCAUGUAAAUUGAGCGAUCAAGUGGCUCGUUCACGUAAACCGAGGACUCCCAAGGUCCACAGAGACACGUACUGAUAGGUCUCGACGUACCGAAGGCCAUGCUCAUGAUCCGGAGCACAACGGCUCGAUGUGGGAAGCCGGGAGCAACCCGAAGGUUCAGCGAACAGCGCGCAGCCACAGAAAAACGCACCGAACAGGACUAACCGGACACUGUUGAUCCAAAAUAAGGUGAGCACCGUGAUCAGCACUGACCAGCGGUCACCGUGCUCACCUCCGGAGGCAUCGGAACAGCCUCGGAUCGCCGGCAAAAUAUGCACAAACAUAGAGCCACAGCCAAAAAGGCUGAAACGAAGCUACAUCGCCGAAACAGCGAAACGGGGCCUUCCUGACAGAAACCAAGGUGAGCACGAUGAUCAGAAACUUGCCAGGAUCAUCGUGCUCCCUUCCGUAGAGAUCAGGAAGCCCCGGGAAGCUCGGAACAGUAAACCACCUAACUAAGCCCUAUUUCGGGCUUGGCCGGAGCAAGCUUGCUCCGGCCGGCCUUCGGCGGCACGGCGGCGCGCGCGGCGGCCAGGAACGGGUGCGGGGGAGUUGAAGAGUGAGGUGCUCACCUCAGUCGGCGGCGAGGAGCGGCGGCGGCGACGGCGGAACCAACCCAGCCCGCACGAGCUAAAGCUCGAGUUCCAGCGAAACUACGGCCACGGCGGCGGUCGGGGCUCCUCGGGGACGACGGCGGCAGGUCCUCAGAGGCCGGAGGAGGAGGAGGAAGGCGGCGGGCGAUAGCGGCGGCGGCCCGCGGCUCGGGCGCUGCCGCUCGAGCUAAGCUCGGUCUGCAGACCUAGGCGGCGGCACCCAAGGUUCAGGGAGGCCGUGGCGAUCCGAAGGGCGGCGGCGACCGGCCAGGAAGGUCGGUGGGACACAGGAGAAGGCCGCGGGAGCGACCUCAGGGAGUGGCGGCGCGGGGGCAGCUGCUGGAACUCGGCUCGGCCGAGCCUUGUCCUAGGCGGCAAACCAGCCAGGGCGGCAGCGGCGGCGCUAGGCGACGGCGGCGGUCGGCGGGGAUGCUCGCCGGAGCACGGGGCGACACUAGCAGAGGGUCUGGAGGUGGCGGCAGUCUCGGGCUUCCUCACAACCCGAGAGAAGAGAGAAAGAAAGAAGAUGGCGCAAUGGUUGGGUGGCAAGGCUGCGGCGGCGGCUGGCCGGCCGGGGCUCAGUCGGCGGCGGCCUGGGCGUGCGCAACAGGUGCAGGGAAGUGGGGUGAAGGUGGCUGGGGGUGCGGCUAGGGCUAGGUUAGGGUUACCAGGCUCCAAACCCUAGAGAGCUAUAAAUACCAAGGUGCAACUUUGCAAAUAAGUCCACCAAACCUCAGUAUUUAUUACUUAGUCCUUCACAGUGCGUAUAAAACGCGCGAACACCCUUCCACGUGCGAUCCCACGUAAAACGGUACAUAAAAUAUCGAGACUUUCGCGAAAAUACCAUUUUGCCUUCACCGACCUCUCCUCGAUCAACGUGCGAUCUCCGCAGAUCCGUCCGUCGGAUUUGCGAACGGAUUGCACCAGUGCGAUCAGCACCUCGGAGAUAGCAAAGCUACGAUUUUUGGUUCACCUCGAUCGACCACGAAUUCACGACGAAAUCCAUUCUCUUUCCAAAAGGCCGCAAUGACGCAAAAUUACAUAAGAAACAUGUAUUUUCAGAUUUUCUUGAAAUCCGUGCGUCAAAACCAAAAUCCGUCAGCGCCAGUAGUUCCAGAAUAGCUAAACCGAUCGAAACGAGCUAUUGGACUGCUAUGAACGGAGUCCGAUAAGCACCAGAAGCCAACUCUACUCCGUGGCUUCUUCGGAAAACCGGAGUUACUAUUCACUUAAGUGAAAACUAAAAAUCGCGUAUCUUCUCCAUUUUAGCUCAUUUUCUUCUGAAACUUGACGAGUACUUAUGUAAUUAAAUUACACACAUAAACAUCGUCAACUGAGAGUUUAACUACACUACAAAAAUCUCAGUCCUUACAGACACCCAAAUAGUCCCACAUCAGAUAGUAAAAGGACUCCACAAUAGUAAUAAUAACUGGGCUUAAGCAUUUUGAGCCGAUGAUUUUGAUCCAACAAGUUAUUAUUGCUGGCGAGUUGGGUCGUUACAUUUGGUAUCGAAGCAAGUUCACCAGUCAGAAGUGUGAGAUGAGUCUUGGCUGAGUCAGGGUUGGAAUGACAGACUAAGACAAAGUUGAUGAAUAACAGGCUAAGUCAGGGUUGGAAUGACAAGGCUAGCAAGACAAGUCUCACAUCGUCUAGUGAUGUUUGUGUGUUUAGGGCUGACAAGGACAUCAGGGCCUAAACGGAGAGGGGGGGGGGGCUUGUGACACCCCAAUAAUCCCAUAUCGAAUAGUUAUGGCUAGAUGUGAGAGUAUAUAAACUUAAUUAGGCAAGACAUAAUAACUGAAUUUACACAUUUUGGGUCAGCGGUUUGGGCCCAACGAGUUAUUAUUGCUAGUGGGCCGGAUCGUUAAAUCUAUAGAAAUUCACUAAUUAAGCAUUAUUAACCUAAAAUUAAAGCUAUUAAAGUGGUCCCACAGCCUCUCCUUAAAGUCUAAAGUCCAUAAAUCUGUCCCCUACAGCAACAGGAAGCUCCAAUAGCCAAUUUUCCAAUUGGAUCAAGUCGUUACUGGAAUUAAGCUGAAAUUCCAAUGUUUCAAGGAGAAAAAAUAGAUUUGUUGGGGCUUUAGAGGGAAUUUGGUGAAAGUUUCAGGUUAGAUGUGAAAGAGGGUGAAAAAUGACUCUCAGGGACAAUCUCCCAUUUUGUAUAGUGGUAUUAUAGGUUGGGUAAAAUGAGCCACAAGAACACAAGAUAAUAACCUAUUACAGUGUUGAAAUUCCCACUUUCGGGCGUCCUAAACCAACUUCCAGGCGCCCUAAACUUGUUCUGCACCACUCUUCAGCAAUUCGAACUCAUGCUCGCAGUGGUCCGGUGCGACCUAAACUGGUCCGACGGCUCACACCUACCACUUGCCUCGUGUCAACGGGUUCCACAUGAGGAAUAAUUUGGGCUCAACAUUUAGGCACCCUAAACCUGGAUCCGAAAUGUCUGUAGUAACCCAUACUAAAUAGCACUCACAUCUGGGCACCCUAAACCAUUUCUGGGUACCCGAAAUUGCCAAAACUUAAGUUUUGGCUUAUUUGAGUGCGUCGAGUUCGUUUUCGUGUCAACUUCGCGCUAAAAUAACUUCGACUCAUCGCAACACUCUAUAGAAGUGUUGACCAGUCACUAAUACUACAUUUGUUGUGAGGGUAUAAUGGUCGACAUCCCAAGAUCUAGGAUAAGUUCUGGCUUAUUUGAGUUCGUCGAGUUCGUUUUCGUGUCAACUUCGCGCCAAAAUAACUUCGACUCAUAGCAACACUCUAUAGAAGUGUCGACCAGUUACUAAUACUACAUCUGUUGUGAGGGUAUAAUGCUCGACAUCCCAAGAUCUAGGAUAAAAGUGUUAGAAACUUGCGUAUGGUAAAACGCAGCGGAAAAAGAAAUCAAACAAAUUUGAUUUUCAAAAACUCUUGAGAUCCAAUAUCAAGAUCAAGCAAUUAGGAUCCCUCAUGUUCUUUAAGAUUAGAGGAGAAAAGUAAGAUCGAAUCUUUACCUUUUGUGUGGGUAGAUCUUCACCUCAAUUUGAUGAUCAUAGAAUUAGAUUUUUUUAAAGCCGCACACGCGUCCGGCCUCUAUAGAAAGAUGGAAGAGAGAGGUGAAGAGAAAUGAUGGCUAGAAUUUUCUAAAAGCUUCCGUAUAUUAUCUAGAGAAAUAUAAUCCUCUUUUUAAUAAUAUAAUGACAAUUAAGAAUAAGUACAAAUCUAUAUUAAAUUUAUUCUUUCCUUAAUUGGUUAGAUCGAUCAAAAUCUAAUUUGAUUCGACUUAAAUUUAUCUUAGUUUGAUCAUAUCAAAUUAAUAAUACAACAUUUGCACAUAAGUCCUCUCAUAAUUUACUAACUAUUAGUUAGUCCUCUGUUGUAACAUUUACACUUUAAUAACACUAAUUUGUAAUAAUUACAAAUUAGUCCAAUUAUCAACAUAUUGACAAUUUGGUCUUUCGAUGAUUCAAAAAUCGCGAUCUAGCUAUCCGAUCAGUCACAACCUCUUAUGUGUGUGACCCCAUAGAUUCUAUUCUAUCUGGUAGUGAGAUAUAUUUUGAUUACUAUCAACAAUAUCACUGAAACUCCUUUCAAUGGAUCGGAACAAUUCUAACUCAGCCUAAUAAGAAUUACCGAUCAUCUAGAUAAUUCUCAUGAGUUUCAUAAUCCACCAGUGACGCCUAGCAGCAUGUAGUGGCAUUUUAGUAGAAUGGAAUACUGAACCUCUUGGUGUAAUUACCGUGUGAUACAAUCCUUCUAUCAUGAGUCCCGACUGGACAGAGGUCAUGGAAUAAAUCGCCAAACCCUAUCGUCUGUCAUAUGUCAAAUUUAUUCGACUCGAGUUUCUAAUAUCGAAAACCCCUUUCUGCUAUUAAGUCUGCCCUGACCAAGGUCUUCUAAACUCGGUCUCAUAAAUCACAUAGGAUUAACGCCCCUAUUUACCAAGGGAGAUAGAUUCCAUAUAAGUUUGCACCCUAUUCCUACAAUGAACCUACUAUAGCCAACAUGCACCGCAAGGACCGAAUGGCUAGGGACCAAGUGUAUGUACAGUCAAACUACAGUAACCUCAUUGUAAAUAGCCGAGGCACCGUAGGUCAAAGGACCAGUCACACUACUGAAACAUUGAGUAAGUCACUAACGAGUGAGUAGACAUCCAAGUGACUUCUCGCGUUGGUCAUGCUUGGUACCCUUGUUCUCUAACAACCACCCGCAUAUUCGCUUCAGUGUUCCCACACUGUCGACUCGAGACUCGUCUACCCCAAAAGGGAAGCGACCUAUGCAUCAAUCUCACCAGAUCAAUCACCGUCCCCGUAAUGAUCCAUUGAUCGGGAGCAUUUAGGAAUUAACCACUAAUGACACAUGUCUCAAAUUCUCAAUUCUUGAGAAUAUAUGUCAUCAUCUUAUUAAUUCCUUGAACGAUUCAUAGACACAUACACAAUAUGAAUGAAAAUAAGAAUCCUAAUUUAUUCAUAGUAAUUUAAAGUCAAAUACAAAUUUAUGUCCUGGAAAGAAUACAUGUGUCAGCCUGGUUUGCUUCUAUGGCAUACAUCUAACAAAAAGCCUUCCUUACCAACAGUUCGUCUUUAAUUAAGCCAUACACAGUUCCACUAGCAAGACUCCCUUGGAGGUGUGCUUGGGUUACUUACCAUCAAUCCCAUUCGACUUGGCAUUCACGGUCGAGCAACCAUAAACCACUAAGGAGAAAUUUGAAAUGGUGAAAGCACAACGCUUCCUGAAGGACAUUUAGAAAUUGCAUAGUGAGGUGGAACGACAAUUGCAAAAAUCUCAACAGAAAUAUAAAGAACAACAUGAUCGACAUCAAGUGAAAGGUGAUUUCCAAGAGGGCGAUCUCGUUUGGCUCCAUCUCAGUAAAGAACAUUUGAAAAGCAAGUUGAAAAAAAACUUAAACUCAUUCGCUAUGGACCUUUCAAGAUCUUACGCAAAAUAGGUGAGAAUGCUUAUGAAUUAGAGCUACCUGCCUAUAUGAAAAUGUGUUCAGUCGUUAAUGUCGAAAACCUAAAGUCUUUCAAUCCGUCAAUGUUGGACGAUGAGCUCGGAGAUGUACCGCCAUCCAUAAAAGAUUUUGUGCUAGAAAGCGUAGAGCAACUAGCUGAAGAUACUAUUCUGGAGCACAAGGUCACGACGACACGCAAAGUUCAACGUGAAUCUUCCCGUAUUGGAUGAAAAGGUUAAAAGCCAAAUGCAGAUAAAUGGUUCACAAGGGAAACUGCGAAAACUUAGUUCCCUCACUUGUAGGUCUAGAUCUAGUAGGUGCUGAUUCCUCUCAAAAUGGGGAGCCAUGAUCCAAGACGAUCAAAAAUUUUGGAUGAGUUUCGAUCAUUGCAAAUAAGAUAGAGACUGUCCCAACUAAUUUGGUUAAGAUAAAGUGAACGCAGUUCUAACUACUUCAAUUAGGAUAAGGAUCGAGACAGUUUUAGUAGAUUGGAAGAAUGAUCAAAUUCUUAAACCAAAUUGGAUAAGAAUAGAGCCAAUUUGGAUAAGAAUAUGGAUGUUAUUUUUUAAAUAUUGUAUUCUUAUCUUCUUGUACGUCCGAAGGGUAUAAACGGGGGUCUUAUGACUCCUGUAAAGGCACUCCAAUUUGAAUAAAGAUAUUCAAAUCCAAUUCUAACGUCUCGGAUAUUACAAUUCUAUUGCCAGUGAAUACACUUGCCCUUUUUGGCUUGUGGAAUUUACUAGAAGACUUUUGUUGGUUUCUCACCCUUUUUUUUGGAUGAUCUUAGUAGUAGGAGUUGGAACGGUGCGUGAGGUGUGAUAGUUAGUGAGCAUUAGAGAUCUGAGCAUUCGUCACUGAUUUAGGUUAUUCUAAUCUUACCUUAUUCUUUUAUUUGAUAAUAAGCUAGUUUUUGGUCGUAGUUCAAGCUUUGAUUCAUACGUUUGAUUUAUUGAUUAUGAUUGUUUACUCUUUGUGGAUGGUACUUUGAAAAUAAUUGUUCUGCAAAGCUUCUUUUAUUAUCGAUGGUAUUGAUUGUUGUAUCUGUGGCUUUAUGUUAAACUGAUUUUCUACCCCUCGUGGUAGUUGGAUUCCAAAAAACGAGUUUUCGUGUGGAAAAUAUUUUUCAAAUAGUUUUUUGGACUUUCCGACAUCUGAAUGGGAAAUGUUAAACUGAUUUUUUUGGUUGGAUUAAAAAAAAAAUGAGUUUUCGUGUGGGAAAUGUUUUUCAAAUAGUUUUUCGGACUUCCUGAUUUUCGAGUUGGAAAAACUUUUACAUGAUAAAAUUGAUCGAUGUUCGCGUAUUUGCAACAUCCUUCGCCUAAGGAGAGUUUAGAACAUGUAUCAUCUUAAGGAUGCCGAACUGAAUGGAUCUUGUGAGCAUCUACAAUUGUGUUGUUGUUAUAUGUGAGUAAAUGUGUGCAUUGUGAUUUGUACUUGUAGUAGUAGGCCAUGCAAAUAAUAGAGAGACUCUAUCCUUAUGGACAGAGGUGUUUCUAUAUCUGUGCGGGUCUAUUCUAUCCCGUGUGCAAGAUUGUAAAAAUGGUUUUCGGGGGGAAGGGGGUGAGGGGAUCUUUUUCACUGUCUUCAUUUUCAAAUUAGCCAUCUUUCUAAAAAGGCCGUACAAAAGCGGUCCCGAGGAGGAAAGGGAGCUUUUUCACUGUCUUCGUUAUAAAAUUAGCCCUCUUUCUAAAAAGGCUUUACAAAAAGGGUCCCGGAGUGUGACAGUCCAAGGUUUUUGUUUAAUAACAAAAAUAUUAAAUAUAACAAUAAAAAUAAGAAACUCGAAAAAAAUUUUCAAUUCCAAGAUUUUUCUAAAUUAGUUCAUUCAUGACUUAGUCAAAGUGUAAUGAUAGCUUAGCAACCAUUAAAGGAAAAAAAAAAAAAACUCACUCAACUAAUGUAUCAAAUUAUGUAGAAAUAAUAUUUAAAUAAACAAAAAGAAACAAAAACAAUGCCAAAUAAAAUCCAAAGUUUAUAAUUUUACAGACAAAAAACUUAAUUUUCUACUAUGUAUGCACCAAUUGCAAUGGUAAGGCGUCUCAAAAGGUCACGCUUUACUUUCGCGUAGCCUUCAGUUCCCCAAUCACUCCCCCACGAGUUCUUGAUUAGGUAAUAUCUGGUGCCAUUUUCGAUACCAAAUCCAAUUAUAGCCACUGAAUGCGCACCUUUCUCUCUCUCUCCAGGUUGAGGUCCCAUAUAGAUAACCUAAAAAAAAGAAUAAAAUAUUAUCAAGCAUGUAUAUGUGUGUGAGUAUAUACAUACAUUCAUACAUAUAUAUAGAGAGAGAGAGUCCAGCUAUGGUACUUUUAAAAGCACCAAGUAUUUGGCGCUUGUAGGUUUUUAGCCAUUAGAUCUACAUUAUUGACCAUUUACACCCGUUAAAUUAUACUAUUCAACCAACCACCCACUCAACCCUAGGAGGCCCACAUCAUUCUAACCAUACAUUUUUUAAUCCAAUGGCUGAAAAUCUACAAGUACCAAUGUCUUGAUACUUUAAAAAGCACAGAAGCUCAAUUAUAUAUAUAUGGCUGGGGCUACUAUACUCAUAUGAGUAUAGAGCCCUUUGUACUCAUAAGUUUUCGACCGUUCAGAUGAAAAAAUGUGCGGUUAGGAUGAAAGUGGUUACAGUUAGGUUGAUAGUGGGCCCCCUAGGGUUGAGUGAGUGGUUGGUUGAAUAGUAUAAUCUAACGGGUGAAAAUGAUUAAAGGGUAGAUCUAACGGCCAAAAACUUAUGAGUACAAUAGGCUCUAUACUUAUAUAUAUAUAUAGCAUAUAUAUAUAUAUAGUAUAUAUAGACAUAUAUAUAUAUACAAUAACAUAUACAUAAAUAUAUACAUAUACAUACACAUAUAUAAUAUACAUAUACAUAACAUACCAACAUAUACAUAUACAUAACAUACAUACAAUACAUAUACAUCCAUACAUACAUAUACAUACACAUACAUAUAUACAUAUACACUAUACAUACAUAAAUCAUACAUAUACACCAUACAUAUAUACAAUAUACAUAUACAUUACAUACAUAUAACAUAUAUCAUACAUACAUUACAUAUAUAGUUAUAUACUAUAUAUAUAUAUAUAAUAUAUAUAUAUAAUAUAUAUAUAUAUAAUAGUAUAUAUAUAUAUAUAUAUAUAUAUAUUGUAUGCUGUGCUAUAUAUUAUAUAUAUAUAUACAUAUAUAUAGAAUAAUACAUAUAAUAUAUAUAAUAUAUAUAUGUAUCUGUAAAUACAUAUAUAUAUAUAUGUAUAUAAUUAGUACAUACAUACAUAUAAUAAUUAUGUAAGUACAUAAUAAUAUAUAUUGUAUAUAUGUAUGUAGCAUACAACAUAUACUAUAUUAUGCUAUGUACAUACACUUCAUAUAUAUAUAUAUAUAUAUAUAUAUAUAAUGUAUGUACAUAUAUAUAUGUAUGUACUAAAAUAUCAAUUAUUAUGUAUUAGUAAAACUGACCUCUCUUUGUAAAUCUGAAAAACUAUCAAAAGCAGUCAAGCAAGCAGCAAUCGGACGUUCUCUCAAAAUAUUCAAAAUUUCUUCUUCAUUAUGUGUUCUUUCUAAAUUUGUUUGAAAAUUUUCAAUUGUCACCUUGUUUUCUGAAAAAUAGAAAUAUCAAAAAUUUAAUAAUUUUAUUUUAACACUAAACAAAUAUUAAAGUGUAAAUAAACUUACGUCUUCAUUUACUUGACAGUACCCUCUUCGCCCGAUAUAUGGACUAUCAACUUCCAAUGCAAUUCCAUGCAUUUUAAUAUAGUUCAGACAUUUCGAAUGACUGCAUUGAAUGCAUCCAACUGAAUCCAUAGAUAGCUCACUAGUAGAUGAAAAUCUAUGAUGAUAGCAGUUCACCAAUUCUUGUUUGGACAACUCAAUAAGCUCACCGUAUCUUCUUGCAUAUUCAGCUUCCACUAGGGUAGUGGACGAAAAUGCAUAGCAGCAUUCUUCAAAUAAUAAAUAAAAAGAAAAAGAAAAGUUUAUAAUCUAGUCAUUAUUCCAAUAAUUACACUAUUGAAUAUACUCACGACAUUCUUGUUGAUCUCCAACCUCAUGACGAAGUAUACCAUGCUGCCGUAAAUCAAAUGAUUCCUAUUAUAUUAACAAUAAAUAUAUAAGAGCGAUAAUAAACAAAUAUAUGUUAUGUUAACAAUUUAAUUAGUACAAUUUAAAUGAGGAAAAUAAUAAAAUUACAGUAUCAUUUAUAAUGACAUAUCUACUUCUAUAUCAUUAUCAUGUCGUUGACUAAUUCAAAAUUGAAAACAAUAAUGUUAAACUAUUUUAUUUUAUUUUAUUUUAAAAUAAUGACUAGACUUUUACUUAUUGCUCAUACACCCUGAAUUUUAUAGGGCACUCCACAUUUGGCCGCCCUUUCGUACGAGUUUUUGUGGUGCCCAACCUUGUGGAAGGGGCACUGGGGAAAGUUUCGAUACUGGAGCUUUUGCCAAAGCGCCCACUGGGCGGCCUGCUCAACCACAUCACAGGACCAAAUAGGCCCAUUGUUUGAUAUCAAACCAGGAAUGUAGUCCAUGCAAUAUGUGGAAUAAUAUUAAUUCAAAUUCUAAUCAUAAAUAUUAACAUUUUAUGAUAAUAAAAAUGUAAUUAUAGAAUAUAUAUAUAUAUAUAUAUAUAUAUUUAAGUAAAUUAGUAUUUUGUAAAAUAUAACUUAGUUCAUUAAUAUGAAAUUUAAAAUAAUGUAAUUUAAUUUUAUUGUCGAUUGCACUAAGAUAAUAUAGAUUUUAGAGUUUAAAUUUUAAAACAAUAAAUCUAGAUUGUAGAGCAGAAUAAAUUUUUACUAUAAAUUUCAAAUUUAGAAAAAUUAAUCUGUGUCAUAGGAUUUUACUAGAAUAAGUUUAUGACUAAGAAUUUAAAUUUAAAUAUAAUAAUAUGCGGCCGGAUUGAAUACAUGGAAAAAUAUAAUUUUGAAAUUGCACCACUCAGUAGUGCAAUGCUUUUAGGCAAACACAAUUUAAUAUAAAUAUUAACCAAUUAGGAAUUAGAUUGUUACUUGUUCUGAAUAAUCGACACAGACAAAAAUCAAUUUUAUAACAAAAUAAUGAAUUAGGUAUCCUACUAUUACUUAUUAGAAAUGAUCGAUAGAGAAAUGAUCUACGAAUUAAUACAGUUAAACCAAAGAAUUUCACAAUCUAAUACUAUGGCGUUGCCUACUACCAUUUUCAAAAAAACGAUAUUAAUUAAAAUUAUUGUUCCACUUUUUACUUGCCUGAAAAUAUUUUUUCCUAUAAUUUGAAAAGAAGAAUUUGGCAAAGCAAAAAAUUUUACGUAUGAUAAUAUGUUAUUACUAAUGUGAGCUCAUUGUAGAAGUUUAAAAAUUUACUGUAUGUGUGUAAUUCAAAAUAAUCCUAUUAGCAUGAGGGGUGUGCCGAAAUUUUACAAGUGAAUAGCCAUAAAAUGGCUCUCAUCAAGAGAAUUAAAAAUGUACUGAAAAGUAAUAACUUCUAUAGUAGUUUAUGGUCAAAAUUAACCAUACUGCAAACAAUUUCAUAUUAAUUUAAUGCGUCAAAAGUUUUUGUGAUGGAUUAGAAAAUUAAUACCAUGUUGGUGCAGGGACGAUACGCAGAGGAAAUCACUUAGCCUUUUUGUUUGGCAAUAAAAAACAGGAACUUCAAGUAUUUGUCUUAGUUGCAGGCAUAACAAACUAAUUUAACUUGAAAGCAUUACAACUUGAAUGCAUUACAUCAAGUAUUUGUGUUGCUUUUUCCCCCCUCCUCGCAUCCAAUUUGCAUGCAUCACAAGCAAAUUUAACAUGAAAGCAUUACAACGUGAAUGCAUCACAACUUCAACUUGCAAACUAUCCAGCAUACAUGGAUAUUGUAUGUGUAUUAUAGUUGUAACAUCCCAUACUUUUGUUCUUUUUACUUACCCUUCUUAAGUUAGAUUUUUCUGUAAAUAUUAAAAGUUGAGGAACUUGGCGAUAUUUUAUAGUAAUUAAUCUCUAGUUUCCUCUCUCCCUUUCCCUGUUGUGUAUGUACUAUAUUUGUAACGCCUAUACUUUUGUUCGUUUUGGGUCUUUUCUUGGAAGUUCGAUUUUCUUUUGUAAAUAUUAAAAAUUGAGAGGUUUAGCGGUAUUUUUUACUCAGCGAAUCGCUAUUUUUCUCUCUCUUUUUUGUUUCGAAUAAAUCCAGUCAUUCCGUCCCGGGGUAUUAUGUAGGCAAUGUCGGGCCGACACGAUCCACGUUAACAGGAUCGAACAGGCUAGGGCUCGGCACAACUUCAAAUCCGUGUUGGACCAUGCCAAACCGUGCUGGGUCGAAGCUACUCCACCCUAGCACGGCCCUCUAGCCUAGAAGGCAUGGGCCAUGAGGGACUACGCCGGUCUCCAAGCCGGCCCUUUAAAGUUGAUAUUGUUUUAUUUUAAAAAAAAGAUAUGUCAAAUUUAAAAAUAUGAAUAAUAAAAAAUUUAUUUUUGUUUAAAUUGAUAUUUUGAUUAAAAAUUUAAAAUUUAUAAAAAUAAUUAUAAAUAACAAAUAUAUAAAUAUUUUUUAAAAAAAUAUAUAAAUUGUUACUUUUUUUUUUUUUCUGAAAAAGAUUUGGUACAAUGGAAAAAAAAUUUGUUUGGUCUACUGAAUCAAAACCACUCCUGCCAAAAUCUGCAGUGGUAAACCUUGGAGAGGAGCUCCUAGGGAUAAGGGUCAAGCCCUUCUCUCGGCACAGCCCAUACAUGUUUUGGGCCGGGUUGUAUCAGACAUCGGGAAAAAAGGUAGAGGCCUAGCAUGGCCUGGAAGUUCGGGCCGGGCAGUGCCGGCAUGGAUUCUACAAACUCUAUGCCCUGCCGAGGUCGGCCCGAGGCAAUGCAGGGCCAGGCGGCCCACUGUUUUACAUUCCUAUUUCCAGCCCUCCCCCCUUCAUGAUUCUUUCUUAUCUUGUGUCCCGCCUCUCAUCGCCGUCAUAUGUGGCCGUUGCCACCACUAUAGCAGCGGCGCUCACUCUCAAUUAGCAUCUUUGGUUUCCGUCAAUGGCACCUAAGUCAUAAUUGUUUUCAUCUUAAAAGAGGUUCUUUCCUCUUCUUUUUGUCCUAAUAUCUAUUCUUGAAAAAAUCCAAUCUUGUAGUGUAUGUUAUUUAAAUAUUUUUAUAUAUUGUUCUCUUAAUGAUUAUAAUCAAAAUUAUUAAAAUUUGAUUUGUAUCAGUUCAAAAUUAAUAUUGAUUGUAUUGUUACUUUAACUUGUAUUUUUAUGAAAAUUUAGUUGUGUAAUUUUUCAUACAUUCUACAUGCUAUUCGGAAUUUCCUCUAGGUGUUCGACAAAAUUUGAUCUCAUCUAAUUACUAUAAUGAAUCGAUCGGACCUGCUAGCGAUAAUAACUCGUUGGACCCAAACUAUCGACGAAAAUGCUUAAACCUAAUUGUUAUUACUAUCUGACGUCGCACUAAUUGGGUAUCAUAGACUCCCUUUGGUCGAGCUCUAACGUCUUCCUCAACCCAAUCAGACGCACAUAGCCCAAGAUCACCGGGCGAUGUGAAACCUGUCUUACUAGCCAUGUCAUUCUCUGGCCAAGGCUUAGUCUGUUAUUUCGACGCUGGCACUGCGGAGACUCGUGUCAAAUUUUGACUGAUGAUUGUCUCUGAUACCAAAUAUAACGACCCGAAUGGAUCCGUAAUAAUAAUAACUUAUUAGACCCAAACCAAAGGUCGAAAAUGUUUAAGCCUAAUUAUUAUUAUUUGUAAUACCCCAGGAAUUAGAAUAAUCCUAUAUAUAAGAUAUAAACCUGUUAAUUCAACUAUAGCAUUUUAGGUAAUAGUUAGAUCCAAGAUGUUAAGAGAGUUAAACGCGCUAAGAUUAAAAUAAUCUUAGGAUGAGUGACCACCUAGGAAGUGGGUAGUCACAAUUAAUAUCAGAGCCAAUUAUUACCUAAAAUGCUAUAGUUGAAUUAACAGGUUUAUAUNUGUGAGAUAAGUUUCAGCUAAGCCAGAUUAUGCAGUGAGAAGAGUGAGGCUCUCUCCUGUUGAUGACUUUUAUAGGUAGAGUGUAGCUCUCCCAAAAGGUCAGCUAAGGCUAGCUCAACGAGUCUCAUAUCGCCUAGUACUUGUAAGUCUAAGGCUGAUGAGAAAGUCGGGACUUCAAAGGGAAGAGAAUGUGACAUCCCAAAAAUUAAAAAAGUCCUAUAUAUAAGAUAUAAUAAGGUUGAAACCUAUUAACCCAGCUAGAGUAAUAAACGAGCCGAACACGAGCUGGCUCACGAGCUGGCCAACGAACAAUAAGUUGAAAAAGAUUAGAUUGAAUAUACAUAAAAAAUAAAUUUAUAAAAUUUUAUCCAUUAGACUUUGAUCUAAUAGUUGAAACUUUAUAUAUAAAUGAGUCUUUUUAUAAUUAAGCUUGCAUUUGUAUUUUUAUUUUGCUAAAAAUUAAAUAAUAAAAAUAUAUAUUAUAUAUAAUUAUUUAUUUAUAUAUAAAAAAUAUAAAUUAAAUAAAUUAUAUAAAUAUAAAAUAUAUGUAUUCGAGCUGUUAUCAAGCCGAACACGAGCGAGCUGACCCCAGCUCGUGUUCCGCUCGUUUAUUAAACAAGCUGAAAAAUUCAGCUAAUGUUCGGCUCGUUUACUAAACGAGCGAUUCGAUCUCAAGCUCAUUUCGAACCGAACACGAACUGGCUCGCGAACAGCGAGCUGGAUUGCCACCCCUAAACCCAGCUAUAGCAUUUUGGGUAAUGGCUAGACCCAAAAAGUUAAGAGUGUUAAACAUGCUAGAACUAAAGUAAUCCUAAGAUGGAUGUCCCUUUGGCAAGUGGGGCGUUACUAUUCGCAUCACAGCUAAUGUGGCCAAAACUCUUAACUCCACUAUAGCAUGUUGCGCGGUGAUUAGACUCAAGGGUUAAGAAGGUUAAGCAUACUAGAACUGGAGUAGUUCUAGGGUGGGUGACCCCCUGUGGUGAGACAAAGUCUCACGUUGCCAAUGAUUGUAAGUUUUUAAGCCCAACUAUAGUAUUUUGGGCGGUGGCUAAGCCCAAGAGAAUAAGAGAGUUAAACAUGCUAGGGCUAAAUUAGUCCUAGGAUAGGUGAUCUCCUGGGAAGCACAGGUGGUAUCAGACCCAAUUACCAACUGAAAGUAUGAGAUGAGUUUCGGUCGAGCUAGAAUAUUUCAGUAGAAAGAGUGAGGCUCCCAUGCUAAUAACUGUUGUAGGUAAAGCACAUCUCUCUACAACAUCAGUUAAGGCUAGUGAGAUAAGUCUCAUAUUGUCUGAUACUUGCGAGUUUGAGUCUAACGAAAACAUCAGGGCUUAAAGGGAAAAGAAUGUGACAAACAGUCAUAUAUAUAAGAUAUAAUAAAGCUAAAAUUCUUAACUCAAUUAUAACAUGUUGGGCGGUGGUAAGGCUCCAGGAUUUAGAAGGUUAAUCAUGUUAGAACUAGAGUAAUUCUAGGAUAGGUGACCCCUCUAGGAAAUGGGGCGAUUGGCUAAGGCUAGCAACAGAAAGUCUCAUGUUGCCAUGUGGUUGUGUAUUUCUAAACGCAGCUAUAAUAUUUUAGUCGGUGGCUAAGCCCAAGAGAUCAAGAGAGUCAAGUGUGCUAAGGCUAGAGUAGUCUUAGGAUGGGUAACCCCCUGGGAAGUGAAACGUCACAGUUGGUAUCAAAGCCAAUUACCAGCCAGCAAUGUGAGAUGAGUUUCAGCUGAGCUAGGUUAUGCAGCGAGGAGAGCGAGGCUCUUAUACUAAUGACUAGUCAUGGGUAAAGUGUGGAUCCCCACAAAGUCAGUAAGGCUAGCGAGACGGGUCUCACAUCGCCUGAUACUUGUGAGUCUAAGCCUGAUUAGGACAUCAAGGCUUCAAAGGGAUGACAGUAUAACACCCUAUGAAUUAGAAUAAUCCUAUACAUAAGAUAUAAUAGGGUUAUAUUAGCCAGGCUAAAGCAUUUUGGAUGAUAGCUAAAUCCAAGUGGACAAAAAAGUUAAGCGUACUAGGGCUAAAGUAAUCCUAGAAUAAGUGACCCCCUGGAAAGUUGGGCGUCAAACCUAAUCACCAACCAAUAUGCUAUAACUAAGUUAAGAGUUUUAGCCCUAAUAUAUCUUAUAUAUAUGCUACUUGAAGUCUAGUUAACCUGAGUGGUCAGUGCUUGCAUACUCGUGUUGAUGUUGACCUUAUACAUCGUAGUUGACCUAAGUGGUCGGUGAUCAUAUACCCGUGUUGUUUUGAUGAUCUAUUGGUCGGUGUUCCCUGAGGGGUUAUGAUUAUUGGCUAUUCGUCGACAGAUGGCUAUUGAUCAUAUUCGCAUCGAUCGCCAUAGCUCGAAAGUAUUUCACAAAUACCAACGAUCUGAUCCACCACAAAAGGGUGUUCUCUUCUAGAAAAAUGGUCGUACUUCCUACUCAUAAGCCCUAUGGGGUGCCUAAUGGGGUUACAUGCCAAAUAGGGCAGGUAUGGCUUGCCUGAGGUCUUUAGACCGACAUAGCAGCAGAUUGUUCAUCCGGUUGACGCAUAUUAGUUACAGUAGCAGUUGUUGCAUUGUACUAUUCAUGUUCUUUCACUUAUGCUAUUGUAGACUCUUCUUCACAUAUACUCGGUUAACAGUGAGUACACUCGCCUUCGUCGAUUUGCGGUACCCACUGGAAAACCUUUCCUUGGUUUCUCACUCCCUAUUUUUACAAGUGAUGUGGGUGGGAGUUAUCAGGACACCACGUGAGGCUGUAGAUGGUGAGCUUGUGAUAGAGGUCCCGACCUACGGUAUAAUUUUUGGAUUGUUCUCAUACUUUAUACAUAUCAUUAGAUAGACAUUGUUGAUAGUUCAGAUUCUAUUCCUUACACAUGAUAAUAGUUAGACAGAUUUGUUGUUCAGUUAAUGUCUAUACUUAUGAGAUUUUGGUUACCCAUGAGAUUUUGGAUACUUGUAGAUUUUGGAAACUCGAGGUCUUGAUUACUUAUGCAUUCUAGAAUUGGACUUCGAAUGAUGGUUUUCUACCCCUUGUGAUAGCGUGUUUUUGGAAACGAUUUUCAAAAUAGUUUUUCGGCUUUUAGUGAAGUUAGAAUUUUAAAAUAAAGUCUUCGUGUGGGAGACGCCUUCCACUGAUAGGAAUGAAUGUGAAAUGAAUGUGGAAUGGUUGUGACUAAGGACCGCUAACUGUUUGAUGUCGAAACUUAUGGAAUGUUGAUCCUUAUUCAUUGUAAAUGCUCGUGUGUGUGAGCAGAUGUCAUGGUUGUCACUUGUACUAUGUGCUAUGCCUAUCGAAGAGACUCUGUCCAUUUGAAUAGAGAAUUUUCUGUAUUAGUGGUGGGUCUGUUACAUCCCUAGAUAAAGGUUAGAAAAAAAUAGCAGUUUUCCACUAACUCUGGUUUACAAAAGGUAGCCUGAUUUCAAAUGGCUUAUUAAAAGGACUCCGAGGCACAACAGAUUAAGGUGGUCUUAGAGUGAAGGUCACAACUACGAUGUCACUCGCGAUUUUUCUUAAAAAUUAAACUGGACCACUGGUUAGGUUGACCUAUAGGGAAACCUAAAGUAUUAGGAACGUGAAUGCGGGGUGUUUGGGCUUGAGUUCUGAUGUGUGUGUCAAGUCGAGUAGAUCGUUUGAUGGUGUUUUUUUGACGUGUAGAUGGCACAUGGUAGGCCCUCUCGACCGAGCCAUGGUGGUAGACACGCAGGUGCUGAGGCAUCUGGUAGUACUCAGGAGUGUACCUCUACUCAUAGAGGUGGUGGCGGAUGGGCACUGGGCGACAUGGUGGAGCUCACACCCGCCAGUUGAAGACUCAGGUGGCAGAUCUUGCACGCCAAUUAGUGGCCCUUGCUAGCUCGGUCGAGCAGCUCUUGCAAUAGCAGACUCCAAAUGCUGCUACUCAGGCCCCACCUUCGGCGCAGGGCAUUAAAGUGACCGUGGACCUUCCUACUGUGUCUGCACCUACCUCGACCACAAUUGUUGCCACUCAUGCCUUACCUGUUAGGCCAAGCACUGAGACAACUGCAGACCCUCCAGCGGUGUCCGCCUUGAUUGUGACCAUAGCCGCGACGAUGACCACGACUACUUCUGCUAGGGGUGCUACCCCUCUGGCAGUGAAAGGUGCCCAUAUCCGGGUGAAGUUGGUGGAGUUCCAAAAGUUCAACUUGCCGAAGUUCGCGAAAAAGACAAAUAAUGUGUGGGCCAUAGAGAGAUAGGUCACCCACAUGGAGAAGCUCUUCCAAGACCUAUAUAUUGAGGAGCAGGACAAGGUCGCCCUCACUGGGGGUGAAGCGGAUGACUGGUGAAGGCCGUAUCGGGAAGGCCAUUUGCCACUAUGUAUCCAUCCUGGAAGAAGUUCCUAGAGCUACUCUACUGCCACUACUUCAAAGAUAGCACCAAGCAGAAUCUUAAGCGCGAGCUCGAGCAGCUCAAGUAGAGGAACCGAACUGUAGCGGAGUGUGAGCGAGACUUCUCUCGCAUUCUUGGGCUGAUCCCCUUAUGGCUCGCGAUGAGUACUACAAAGGCCAGUUGUUCAUCAAAGGGUGAAGCCCAGCUUCAGGAAGCUGCUUUCCUCUUACGGCACACUAACUUUCGACGAUGCUCUAGAUCUGGUCUAGAUGAUCCAAAGCGAGAUGGACAAGAUGCAACUUGAGCGGUGGCUUCUCCUCCAGCAUAAGGCCACCAAAGCAUUCAUGCUCAGUGAUGGAUGUGGAAUGGUUGUGACUAAGGACCACUAGCUGUAUGAUGCGAAAACUUAUGGAAUGUUGAUCCUUAUUCAUUUUAAAUGUUGGUGCGUGUGAGUGGACUUCAUGGUUGUCACUUAUACUAUAUGCUACGCCGUGCAAAUACAAGAAAGACUUUGUUCAAUUAAAUAAAAAAUUUUCUGUAUUUGUGGCGGGUCUGUUACAUCCCCGAAUAAAGGUUAGAAUAAAAGGGCACUUUUCCACUAACUCUGAUUUACAAAAAAAUAGUUUGAUUUUCAAAAUGGCUUAUUAAAGAGACCACCAGGCGUGACAUAUUUGCAAAUAUUUAUAACAACAUUGUUAACCUACAUGAGCCUAUACUAAUUUUCUUGCUUGUGCACUACUGCAAUAAAUAGCUUAGUUCUAUUUUUGAUGAGUCAAAUCUCAUUUUGAAAACUCAAUCAGAAACCGGUAGAUUUUGAUUGUUCAUUUCUUACUUUGUGCUUUUGAUGUUAGUUCAUUUACUAUUUUAGGUGCUAUUGACGCCCUACUUCUCAAAAGGUCACCCAUCCUAGGGCUAUUCUAGUCCUAGCAUACUUAACCCUCUUAACCUUUUGGGUUUAACCACCUCCCCAAAUGUUGUAACUGAAUUAAGAGUUUUAGUCCUAUUAUAUCUUAUAAAUAGGACUGUCCAGGGUCUCACAUUCUCUCCUCCUUAAGCCCUGACAUUCACGUCAAGCUCAAAUUCACAAGUAUCAGGCAAUAUGAUACUUGUCUCUCUAACCUUAACCGACCUUGUGGGAGAGCUGUGUUUUACUUCCAAUAGUCAUCAACAUAAGAGCCUGGCUCUCCCCGCUGUGUAGUCUGGCUCAGUUGAGACUGAUCUCAUACUUCCAGCUGGUAAUUGACUCUAGUACAAACUGUAACAUCCCACUUCCUAGUGGGUCACCCCAUCUUAGAAUUACUCUAGUUCUAACACGCUUAACCUUUUUAACCUUUUGGGUUUAGGUGCCGCCCAAAAUGUUAUAAUCAGGUUAAGAGUUUUAGUCCUAUUGUAGCUUAUAUAUCGGACUACCUAUGGUCUCACAUCUAUUCAUUAGAUUGAUAAUGUGAAUGUAAUCUUCUCCUUCUACAUAUUUUUUUCAACCUUAUAGUUUUAUUUUAGUAUCUUAUAGAAAAUCGAAUAUCGUAAUUUAGAUUCUAGUGAUUGACUCGCCAUACAUUUUUGCCUAGUAAGCUUCAUAACUUAGAAGCAACUUAAGAUAAGCGAUCAGGCACCCGUUAGUUUUUUGAUAUAAUACAAAAAAACGGUCUGAUAAUAAGAAAAUUUCUAUUUUUUAGAUUUUUAAAACUAAGGAUUACGCGUAUUAUUAUAGACUUCUGAAAAAAAAAAAAUUUCAACUUUGACCGACAGGUUCUUAUGAUAAAAGACUUCUAAAAUUUCAUAAUAUCUUAUGUAAAUUAGUGGCUGGAUAAAAAUUUUCAAUUAUAAUAUCUUUUGAUAUUCUGAUACACUAAUAUUGACUAUGUCAAAUACACUAAUAUUGACUAUGUCAAUAUGUAUUCUGUUAUAAAAAGUAGCUUCGUCUUUAUAUUGCACCUCCUAAUGCCUGUAACUAUUAGCGUCUCUAUUUUGUAUUUGCGCUUUCGAGCGCCUCUGAUCUAUAUAUACACCAUCUAGUGCCUCUGUUCUAUAUUUGCACUUAUGUUUGUCUCCGGACCUCGCCAAUAGGUCACUCGAUAUAGGCACCUAAAUGACAAUUAAAAUCAAGCAAUCCAAGUGAAAUGAGCAAAUCAGGAAAUUAGACAGCAUCCUCUGCUAAAAUGCCAAACUAGUUCUCCCAAGAUUGAAUUAAACUGCACCCUCUUGCAAAUAUUCAAAAACAAGAAUCACUCUUAGGUCCCAGUUUAACUUUCUUUACUGAUAUUAAAUUGUCAAAAAGAGAUAAAAUGUACAUCUUCAAGAGGAAAAGAGAAGAAAACCAAAGAGACAGUGAAACUAUUUAGGAAUUACUCAAAAGUGAUCUUGAAGAUUAAUGAGUGAGAGUUAAGUAGGCAGUUGUAGAAAUACACCUGAAAAGGAUCUCUUUCUCACAAAAAUAAAGGCAUGCAAAUUGGUUCAACAAGUAAAAUCAGCACACUGUUAUAUUUCAAGUUUUCAACUGUGUCAUUCGGACAACUAUCCGAUCAGAAAUUAGUAAAAGUCAAUACUGCUGAGAAUAACAGAGCAGUGUAUCUGCCCAGGCCAUAUGUUUUAUUCUCAAAAUUGUUGUUUUCUUACAAAAAACCUUACACAGAGCUAAAUUUGAUUCUUCACAAGACCACCAUUAAAUUCCCAAUUUAAAGUAAAAGAGGCAGCUUCUGUUUGUCAUAAUACUGCAAAGACGAUAAAAUUCUACACAUUCAUAUAGCAUCAAAAGAAGAGAACAGAAACUAAACUGCUAAAGAUCCUAGAUGAUUGCACCAGAAAGUUGGUUAAAAAAAAAGGAGCGAAGCAAAGAAAACUGUUUUCCUGUGUUUUGCUCAACCAAACAGCACUCAAGUAGCGAUGGUCCAGUGUGGAGCAUGUUUACUCAACCUACAGAACAUUUGAGAAGAUAAUGACAUGGUCAUUAAGAUAUUAAAAGAUACAUGUAUUGCUCAUAGGUAAAAAUAUGUAAAGAAACAAGUGUUGCCUAUUACAUUUCAGUAGUUACAGACCGACAUUAAGAUCACAUGGAACAUGCUAUUCAGCAUUACAUCAGGAAUACUCUCAGCAAAUCAGUAAAAGCCCAUUAAACAACAAUCGAUGAUCAGAAAAUUAGCUUAAGAUCUCUUCGUGAAUCCCAUGAAAGCGUUGUCUAAUUUCCUCAUUUGAAGGCAAAGAAAUCACCAAUUGGAAACUUUGGAUUAAAUUUACAACUAAUGGUGGUAGUUGAAUUUUUUCAUGAGACAAAAUUCAGCAACAAUGAGGAUAAAUAGAAACCAAACAAAUAAUAAUCGACCAUGGAUGACACCAAGCUUUAGAAGCACAAUUACAAGAUAAAUGGAAUAAAUGGUUUUAGCAUAUGAAACAUCAUUCUCCUUUCGUGCAACAUCUUGUACGUCACAUGGUUUCCAAGUUACAAGCAACAGUCACCUCCUCAACAAGUUUUUCUGUCUAGUUAGUGUUCCCUGUUCUCAUAUGCAGCAUAAAACCAUGCAAACAGAUGUUUCACGAGAGGGGAUAACAUUAAGAAUUAUACACAACUUUCUUAUAGGAUAGAAUAUAGCAACUCAAAGCAAGAAAUGAUUUUGUAAGGAGGCAAUAGAAGAACCAAAGUACAUAGCAGCUCAAAGAUAUAUCUAAUACACAGCUGAAUACAAAAAUUAAAAGCACCAUUAUCUGAUAGGUUAAGCUUUUGAAGAACAACGGUUGUUUUCACAUUGUUUAACAUGGUAUAAGAGCAAUAGGUCCUGAGUUUGAAUCUCGCCGGGCUCCUUGCAUAAUCACUCAUUUAAUUCAAGUCCACAUCUUGGAGUAUCAAGUAGAAGUGAGAGGAGUGUUGCAUAUAAAAAUUAAAAACAUCAUUCUCUGAUAGUUUAAGCGUUUUCGAGAACAACAGUUGUUUUCAUAUUAUUUAACAAAUAUUUACUUAAUAGUUAACUUAUAUAUAUGACCUUGACUUUUCCAAUAAUUUCAAUAAAACCCUAAAUAUAUAUCAUGCAAGGUAAAUUAUCCGACUUUUCUUCAUAAAAGUCCCACUAACUUUUUUUUCAGAAGAAUUGUUAGUUCGCAAUUUUAAUGGGUUAUUCUCCUUGACUUUAGGUUGAAAAGCACCAAACACAUAAAUUGUCGUAGAAAUUCGAUCAUAUAGUCUUCUCCCACGUAAAUUUUCCUGAAAUGACAGCUCAAUUAACAAGAUCAACAACUAAUUUGUGCAAGUUUUGGACACAGGGCUUUUGAUGAUUAUAUGACAUCAAUUGACUUAUUAAAGGGUUAAUUCAUCCAAUAUAAAGAUGAACCUUUCACCAAUAAUAUAAUUAUUAGGAUGUUGCAUUCUUGUCCAAAACCAAUAUCCUUAUAAUCCAUAUUGCACCAUCUGGGACAAGGAUACCUAUAUUUUGUAAUAUCUAUAUCUGAUCCCCAUUUGCAAGCAAUUGCUUAAACUUCAUCUGACUGAAGUUUUGCUUUUUUAUGUUUAUUCUCCCUAGUCAUAUGCCAGUCCUGCUUUGCUUGUGCUGAUAACCAUGUGUUACCCUUAUUGACCAUACAUGUAGAGUACUAGACCUUGACAAAUAGGCAAAAUUGUAGUCUGGGUCACUGGUCAGCAUGUUCUUAUAGUGCUUGACUGAGCUGGAGACAUUUAGGCGCCAAAUAGACACGAAAACAAACUGAGAAAUUGAAUUCUGCUCAAGUUGUGCUGGCUGGUGCAAUUUUCGGACGCCCAAAAAGCUGUUUAGGGCACCCAAAAUAGGUGAGCAUAGGAACAGCAUCAUUCAGACCCUUUUUUGGACCGCCAAGCAGUGAGGCAGCACCUAGUGUGAGGAUUUGGGAGGUUCCAAGCGACUGAAUCAAGGUUUUGGGUGCCCGAAUUCCUCCAUUUUGGCUAGAAUGGUAUAGUUUGAAGCAUAGAGGACUUUUCGGCAUAUUAUUACAUCCUAAAGUGGAUUCCAGCACUGCAUCUAAGUAGCCUUUCAUCCUUAUCUUCUCUGCCAACCAUUUCUAGAGAGAUAAAGAGAGAGAAGAGAAGAGGAGAUUUUGGGUGGUUGGACGAGCUGAUCAAGCACGUGCGCGAGUAGGAUUUUUUCGGCAUUUCCAUAUGGAGGUUAGCAUUAUAAUGUUAUUAUUACUUUUUUCAUUCGACAUUUUUAGUGGAUUCUUGACAGUAGAUCUUAGGAGAAGAGGUUUUGUUGGGCCUUUGUGCAAAUUGAGAUUUAAAAAUGGUUUAUAUGAGUUUUAGGAGCCGAUUUCGCCAAGGAAAAUUUCAGGCUUAUUGGAGGUGUUGUGGCUGCCGUACGACUAGUAGAGUAGCAGCGGAUCACCUCAAUUCUCCGAUAACUAUUCUGUUUCUUGGAUUCGUGAUCUAGGUGGGUUCUAUGUCACCGAACAACGUAUUUCCUUCUAUGUCUAGUUGCACGUACAUGUAUGUGUAAUAUGCAUAUAAAUAUGUUGGUAGAAAGUUAUGAUAGCAUGGAAUUGAGUAGAGGGAAUUGAUUUAUUGUGUAUACAUGAGUACUAAUCGAUGCUAGGCUAUACAAACAAUAGGUCACGUUACCUUAGCACAUUGGGUUCCUACUAUCGUUGUAUAUUGUCUAUAUAUUAGGUUAGGUCGAGAGAGACCAUUGGACUCAUAUGCUUAGAUUGUGAAUUAUAUACUAAUUAAUUGCAUCUUUAUACACUAAAUAGUUGUUAUGCUGGAAGAUAAGAGAAAAUGACUAGAGAGCUUUUGAGUAAGUGAUUUAGUAGCUGCAGAUCAGCUAAUUCCCAAGUGCUGACAUAUUGCUUCUAUGAUGUUAAGCCAAGAGGGGCCAUUGAACAUGUUUAUGUAUUGAUUAUUUGUAUGAUACAUAUUAUGACUUAUGUGAUAGAAGCUGCGGGUUAGGACAACGGCAGUGAACAGGUUUUCGACACCGAGAGGUAUGUGAUGGAUUUAUUGUACAUAUGAAUUAGUAGACACUCUAUGAUUGUGCUAAGGUCACUAAAUUGCUUACUUCUGAUCUUUUGGACACUGAGAGGUAUGGUACGAGAGUUUUGAUGUUAACCACCGGCAGGUUUGAAGAGAAAGACAUGUUACAACCGAGAGAAAAAAAAAAAAAUCCACCACGAGAGAGACAAAUCCGAAAAAUAGACCAAGUAAUCACAGAUCCGAAAAAUAGACCAAGGAAUCACAGAUCUAGAGGAAAGAGGAAAAGUGAGUCAGAGUUGAACCAGAGAAGAACCGAGUAGUACUUGAGAUCAACCAGGCGACACCAGCAAGCGGCACCAACGAGAUAAGAAGAAACCAGUGACACCAAGGAUGCCUCGGGUGACACCAGUGGCAGUAGGGAUGCACCGAGCGGCACCAGAGAGAACCAGCGACAGCAGGGAUGCACCGGGCGGCACCAGAGAGAACCAGCAGACCGAGCGGCGCCAAAGAGAAUCAACGACAGCAAGGAUGCACUGGGCGGCACCAGAGAGAACCAACGGCAGCAAGGAUAAGAAUAACAAGAGGAAAAACACCUAUGGGGAAUGUGUGAUUUGUGGUGGAAGAUGGUUAUAGAUCAAUAUCCCCAUAUUAGGGUUUUUGGCUCUGAUACCAUGAUAGAAAGGCAAAAGAGCGUACCCUCUUGGGUUCUAUUAAUAAAAUUAUAUAGUACAAAAGAUAAGUCUACUAUAGUAACAAUGCCUACUAUAGUAACAAUACAACUAGGAUUACAUACCAUAUAAUCCUAUAUCAUACCAUAUAAUCCUACUCUAAAUAUGUUGUAAUAUACAAUAUCCAAACAUAGUAUAAGAUACUAAAUAUGUCGUAACAGGCAGUGGCGGCGGCAGCAACCCAAUAGAAGGAAGGUUCACUGCUAUAUAUAUAGACAGAGAGAGAAGGAGAGACCAAGGGAGGAGCCUCGCUGAAAUGGGGUCACCGGCAAGGUACGGAGGGAGUGGCCGUGGCUGCACAGGGAGAGUGCUAGGGUUUAGGUUUAGAAAUAUAUCUAUAUAAAUAUAUAUACAGACGCAUAUACGUACACUAUAUAUAUACGCAUAUAUAUAUCCUCUUGUGUAAAAAUCACAACUUACUCCUCUGCCAGCCCCCUUUUGCACAUAACUCCAUACCACAGCCCAAAUUGCACAUAAAAUUUCAUAGUAUUUCACAUAAAAUUUUGAAAUUCUAGCAAAAAGAUCCUCCAUUUGGUUCUCUCUCAAAACUUCUAAUAAGUGCCAUCUUGCACAAAACAUUUGAAAUUUCGUGAGACUUCAGUCCAUGCGUAUGCGUCUAGUUUCACAUGAGUCCUUCCGUUCGUGAAAAUUCCAACAUUUCUCACAUAAAAUGAUAAGCCCUUCACACUUUGCCCCUUUAUCCAUUUUGCAAAGAUUGCAAUUUAAUCCCUCAUAUUCACAGUUUCAUACCCAAAACUCAUCGAUAGGUGUGUUUUGCUCAUAAGUUCCUCCACCUCAAAAAUUCGGUUACUCAAAAUACGAAAUGUUGUGUUUUUUAAAUAAAAACUCCAUUUCAAUUAUUUUGCUCGCAUCUUUUUUCAUCUCCGAUCAUUCACCCUAUCACGCAAAAUUUCACCGAGAUCCCUCACAGGACUGACAGCACCAACAAGCCAUAUAAGUGACAAUUUUCGUUUUGUAGAAAAUUGCUCUAAAUUGCAUUAUAGUACGCCAUCGUUAGGAAAUUUGCUAUUACAUACUUCGGGUUCUAUAGUUGUGCUUACGUGAUGGUAGCUAGAGUUGUGUGAUUCAUGUACAGUGAUGUUUUAUAGUAUCAGUUUUAUAUAUGGCUCUGAUACAGGAUUAGAUAAUUAGUUGUGGACUCUAGGAAUUACUAGUUAUAGAAACUAGGGUUGCUUUACUAUUACUUCUGUUGGUUGGACGCUUCGUAUGUGCAGGAUCUAUGUAAAUACGGCGGUCUGUUAACAUACCCGUGGGUUUCUGCUGUGAAACUGAGGCAUGAUAAUGCAACAUAUAAACGAUGUUAUGCGCGAACGGCACACCAGCAUGUCCUAUGCAUGUGGCACGACAAUCCUUAUUAAUAAGUAUCAAAAUAAAUAGGAAAUGCUCAGGUAACUUCAAAACUAAUCAAACAAAUUUGUAAACCAUACAAACAGAUAAAUAAACAUAUAUCUUUGACUAACCAGCAACUGGCUUAAGCCUGCAAAAGGAAACUCGAAUGUCGUGGCGUAUUCCAUAAAAAACCUUCGCUUGGAAUGUUUUUGGACUGCUUCCACCAUCAGUUGCUUGGAAAGUGAUGUUGUACCAGUAUCCAGCUGCAACAAUACACGUCGUCUUUUCUAUCUUCACAAAUUCAUAACUUGUCGCCUAUGUCAUAAAAGAGUGUCAUAAAGGAAAUUCCAAAAGCAAUUCCACCAAGAAAAAAGGAAAGUAAAAGAAAUAAAUAAUAGGAAAAAAAUACAAAACAGAAUAUAGACUUACAUUUUCCUUAUUAAACUGUUCGAUUGCUGAUUUGGUACAUCUGAUAAGACCUUCAUCCUCGAAAUUCGUUAAAGCAGUAAGACCAAACUCAAAAGUGUCUGGAGAUGGAUCAACAUCAAAUCCCUAUAAAAUGUAUAUAACAAACAUUAGGAAGGAAAAAUUAUUUUGAAUCUUUGAAUCCUAAAAUGAAGAUGAUAGUUGUUAAAUACCUCGCUUUCCUUGAUUUGUUUAUAGUACCUCGCCCAUUCUUCACGAGUCCUUCUACGUUUACCAUCUGGCCAGACAUAAUCAUCAUCUUCACCAGACGUAUACUCAUAAACCCUCUGUUCUUCCUCUUGCUUUUUCUCUUCCUGCACCUCACUCUCGUCAUCCUUUCUCUCUUCCUUCACCUCGUCACGUGCAUUGUACGAUCUCAAUUUCUUCUUCUCUUUCAGUGGUUCCUCAAGUAAUGGUCUCUUAGCAUUCCGACUGCAUAACACAAUAAAGCAUAUCAAUUUACAAUUUGAUAGAGAAUCAAGAUAUGCAUUAAAAAAAUUUUAAUUUCUAUCAAAACGAGUACAACUUCAAAAUAAACUAUUUCACAUUUGAAUGAAAUACCUUUGUUAAAGUAUGGUUAUUUUUUUAUUUCCAUUCGUAUUUCUUUUGAGUCAUAAUAUACAGAGAAUGAAGCUAUACUACUUUAACAGUAAACAAUAAUAUUUACUAUCUAAUUUCUAAUACUUAGGGUUUAGUAGCGGUAGGUAGAAGAGUAUUGAUCUAAGGGCUCGAAAAUCGAUACAGACACAUAUAUAUAUAAAUAUACAUUAUACAUAUACAUAUACAUACACACAUAUAUACAUAUAUAUAUAUAUAUAUAUAUAUAUAUAUAUAUAUAUAUAUAUAUAUAUAUAUAUGUAUGUUAAUAGAGUUAUAUGUAUAUUUAUGUAUAUUGAUAGAGUUCGCUAGGGUGCUUCCAAUAGAACUAAUGUGAUGCCCCACGUCCCAAGAGGUCACCCAUUCUAGGACUACUCCAGCCCUAGUUCUUAACCUCUUGGGCCACAGCCCAAAAUUCAAUAACCGGAUUAAGAGUUUUAGUCCUAUUAUAUCUUAUAUAUUGGACUAUUUGGGGUCUCACAUUCUCUCCCCCUCUAAGCCCUGACGUUCUCGUAAGACUCAAACUCACAAGCAGCAGGCAAUGUGAGACUCGUCUCGCUGGUCUUAACCGACUUUGUAGGGGAACUACAUUCAACCCACAACAGUCAUCAGCAUGAGAGCCUCGAUCUCCCCACUGUAUAACCUGGCUCAAUUGAGACUCACCUCACACUUCCGGUUGGUAAUUGGCUCUGAUAUCAACUGUGGCGCCCCACUUCCCAGGGGGUCACCCAUCCUAGAAUUACUCUAACCCUAGAACGCUUAACUCUCUUAACCUCUUGGGCCUAGCCACCAUCCAAAAUGCUAUAGCCGGGUUAAGAGUUUUUGUCCUAUUAUAUUUUAUAUGUAGAACUACCUGGGGUCUCACAACCAAGCACUUGGUGCUAUCAUUCCACUAUUAGAUCGAUCCCUUUGACGAAUUCUACCCUUUAGAUCAUGCCACUCCACCAACCAUCAACUAAACCCUAGGGGACCAUUAUCAUCUUAACCCUACAAAUCUUUAUCCAAGGCUGAACAGCACCAAUGACUGUGCUAUUAGAAGCAUUCUAGCCUAGCGCUCUCUCUCUCUCUCUCUAAAAUACUAUCGGUAACAAACGGGCUCUGUUGCUUGCUAUUAAUGAUGAAGCUUCCAAAUGGACAAUCGAUACCGUUGAACAUGAUUGUGACCACUGGAAGUAUCUAAAAACCAAAUUUCAAGUGGACACAAAAAUAAACUGCUAAAAGAAAAUAUCUUUCAAAAAGUGAUGAUAGAAUUCUUAUAAUCAAGAUCUAGAGUAUAGAUCUUAUUUUAAAUAGUUUAAACAAUUUAUUAAAUAAAUUUAAUUGAUUUAAAUUUUUUUACACCAUUAAACGAGCAAACGCCUCAUAUCAACCAUCAAAAGUACAAAUUUUGGAACCUUAUGAUCAUUUAGUCAACGAUGUCAAAAACAUUUGAACUUUGAUUUCUAGAUACUUCAAAUGGUAUAGAUCAUAUUUAACAGUGCUGAUCGUCGAUUCGGAAGCUCCAUCAUCGAAAACAAAACCGAAAGCAACAAAGCCCAUUUGCUAUUGAUAUUAUUCUAGCCGAAGUCUAUAUAUAAGUAUAUAUAGUUACAUACAUACAUACAUACAUACAUACAUACAUAUAUAUAUAAUUAUGCUACUGUACUAUCGAUAGUACCAAACGAUUGGUGCUAUCGAGUUUUCGGCCCUUGGAUGAAGAGAUGUGCGGUUAGGAUAAUAGUGGUCCCCGAUAAGAAUGAUAGUGGUCCCCUAGCGUUGAGUGGGUGAUUGGUUGAAUAGUAUGAUCUAACAGGUUGAAGUGGUCAAAAGAGUAGAUCUGGCGGUAGAAAACUCCCUAGCACUAAAUGCUUGGUACCAUCGAUAGUGUCGUAGCCGAACCAUAUAUGUAGUGUAGAGCUACUAUACUUUCGGAAAUAUAAAGGAGUAAGUGCUUAUGACUUUUUAGAUCUCGAAUCAAAGACUAUAUUGUUGGGAUAACAAUGGUCCCUCUUGGGUUUAGUGGUCCUCCUAGGGGGAAUAAUAUUCAUCCAAGGGUUAGAAAUGAUCAAAAGGAUUAAUCCAAAGGUAAAAACUUGGAAACACUAAUUCCUUUAUGCUUCCAGAAUAUAUAUAUAUAUAUAUAUAUAUAUAUAUAUAUAUAUAUAUAUAUAUAUAUAUAUAGCACCAAGUUGUUGGCACUUUUGGGUUUUAGGCCCUUGGAUUAAGGAUAGUAGGGUUAGUAUGAUAGUGUUUCUCCGAGGGUAUAGUAGUUGUUGGUGGAGUAAUAUGAUCUAAGGAUAGAAAUGAUCAAAGGAGCAGAUCUAAUGGUGGAAAAACUGGUAGCACAAAGUGUUUGAUGCUAUUAGAAGCACCCAAUCGGACUCCCUCUCUCCCUCCCUCUUUAUAUGUAGAACUGGGCUUGAAUUCUUCUAACUGCUCUAAGUCAUUUGUGCUUAUGGGUUUUCGACCCUCAGUGAAGGGUUGUCUAGUUAGGAUGGUAGCGGUCUCCAAGUCAUUGGUGCUUAGUGGUGGUUGGUAGAAUAGCAUGAUCAAAAGGACAAAAAUGGUCAAAGGGGCAAAUCUAAUGGUGGAGAAGCUCGUAGCACAAAAUGCUUGGUUAGGUAUCCCUAUCGAUAGUAUGGAAGCCUUACUACUAAGUUAUUUUCGAUGAUAGGACAUCCAAAUUAAUGAUCAGUUUCAUUAGAUAUGAGCUACACUAUUGGAUUUUUUUUAUCAACAAUAUUUAACAAGUGACCGAAAGAUCUGAAAAUUGACAAUUUCAAUUGCAGCCGAUUCAUUUGUGAGUUAACAAUGUAGAAUACUCAAAAUCCAGUGAAAUUUUGAUGGACGAUUCUUUUCAAUGUUUAGAGAAAGAUCAGUACAUCUGAUUUGAUAUGCAAGCCUUUUAUCAUUGUCUAUUAUGAGAUUUUUACUUUUAACUGUUCAUUUGGAGACUAUUCGUUUUAAAUGUAUAUGAUAUUGAUAAAUCAGGAAAAUUGGUUUCUAGAUAAUUCCAACAAAUUAUGUAUAACGAAACCAAUCAUCCCUUCAGAUGUCCCAUCAUUUAAUAUAGAGGUCUUCACGGUACGGAUAGUAUUCUAGCCUAAUUCUAUAUAUAUAUAGAUAUAUAUACGUACAUACGUACAUACAUACAUACAUAUAUAUAUAUAUAUACAAGUAUGGAUACAUAUAUACAUAUGUAUACAAAUACAUAUACAUUUCAUGUCAAAAUGGGAGGUCCGCCAUCAAAAUAACUAGAAAAAAUUAAUGAAGUUGUUUUUUCAUAGAAUCAGAACAAUGGGUUAUGAGGUCGAACUUACUCUGAAACGUUAAAUAUGUUACCAAAUAUUAAAAGAAAGCACUAAACACAGUCCACAUUUAUGAACAGCAACAAUAAAAAUGAAGUGCUAAAACAAAGUGAUCAUAAUAGAGGUGAAAACGGUCAAAUACGGUCCAAUAUUUGAUGAAACCAUAUCUACGUCCAUAUUUUAUAUCGAUAAGAUUUGGAUGCGCAUAUGUGUUAGCCGAUAAUUUUUCAUUACCAUAACAGCUAACUGCAGAUUUAGAUACGAUCAAAUAUCUCGUCAGAUUUGAAUAUAGAAUGAGUUUAUAUUUCGAUAUUACUCGGGUGAUGUUAUUCGGAUAAUAAUAUACAUUAAUAUACACAUAUAAAUAUGAAUUAAAAUUAGCAACAAUGCAAAUAAAAUUCUACAUCUUGUUCAAACUUUUAUGUGCCUAUAUUUUAUUCAAUAAAAUCUAAGAUUAACAAACAUAAAUACAACGUUAAUAUGAAAUUUAUAAUAAAAUGAAAAAAAUUCAAUAUCACAUUUCGCCACAAAAUAUAUUAACAUCACCCUUAUCUCCCAGCAAAAAGCAAUCAAACUCUACCUUAUCUCCCCACAAAUAGCAAUUAAGCUACUUUUAUCUCCCAAAAAAGGCAAUUAAGCCCUCCUUUAUCUUUCUACAUAUAUUAACAAUUAAGUAGAGAACUUUUUGUUUAUCAAAUCAAAGAAAAGGGAAUUCUAUUUGAUUAGAUAAGCAAAAGUUCUAGAUUGCUUGAUAUGCCCAUACCUUAUUCAAACUUUAUACGUCCAUAACUUUUUUUUGAUUUGACGAAUAAAAGUUCUAGAUUUCUUGAUUGCUAAUAUGCGUGGGAAGAUAAGAGAGGGCUUAAAUUCAAUCUCAAAUACAAAAUCAAAAUUUAAGCUCGGGUGAAGAGUCACACGAUAACAAUUCAAAAUCAAGUUCAAAGUCAAAAUUUAAAACUAUAUCUAAAUUCAAAUAUCAAACUAUUACUAAAAUAAAAACUCAAAACAUGAAUAUCUAAAUUUAAAUCUACAUUUCCAAUCCAAAUUUACAGUUAUAAUUUAAUCUAAACUUCAAUCUGAGAUUCUGAAUAUGCACUUAAAUUUAAAUAAUUGUUAUAAAAUUCAAAGAAUAACUUAGGGUGCAGGAAUCAAACUCUACACCUCUCGCAUGUAAGAAAGCUCUAUACCAUCUAAGCUACACCACCCUCUAAUUUAUCCUCCCACAGCAUAUGAAUUUAUAACAUAUAUUAAUUUUCGGAUAAUCUGAAUUCGAAUGCAAGUUUGUAAUUUAUAAUAUAUCCCUAUCCGAAUUUGAACUUGAAAAUAUGUUAAACAUAGCAUUUGAAUAUGAAUCUGAAUUCGACCAGAUGCACGAUUUUGACACUCGUAUUCGCAUCUGAUCAAAGCCAGUGUCAAAUUCGAUCGAAGUUUAUCCUAACCACAUUCACUCCUAGGUGAGAGAAGGCCAACUACACAACGACAUCCCGAUUGAUAGAUACUUCAUGUUCGAGUUUUAUUCACAGUAGUUCCAAUUUCCUCUUUGUCGUCAUAUUAAAGCAUAUUUACUAGACCAAGAGGUGUGACCUAGAAAUUUAUUGUUAUUGUCCCUUGCAACAUGCAUGACGUAUAAUCUGAAGGACAUGAUACCCAGGUUCUACAAUUCUAAUUGGAGUUUUGGUUCCGAAAUGCAAACAUAAGUACUGCUAAGAAUAAAAUCUGUUGAUUUUGCGCAAAAUCUGGAUUAGAAAGUAGGUCAGUGGCACUAGCGAGUUGAAUACAAUUGCAUAUUUGAGUUGUAACUUGUAAAUACAAUUCAUUUCGAUCAAACUAUACAUACCAAACAAUACCAAACUUUCAUACAUAAAAGCUCACCCUAGUCACCUAUUAGGACUCAGUAUAAUAAUUGAUGAAGUUUGAAAAUAAAACUGGUCUCAAUCAAAAUAUAAACCACAUAUACACCAAACAUCAUGCAUGGAAACGCAUCCUAAUCAAUCAAAGUCGGUAGAAUAUUGAGGAAUAUUACCUUCGCCAACGUAAGAAAAUCCUCCAGGCAUCAAUCUCCAUAAGAAUAGCGAGGAAUAGCGAGGAGCAGAGGAAGCUAUCCAGACGCUCUAAUAGACAGACGGUGAGACGAUGAGAAGGAAGGCGGCUGGGUUACCGGUCUGCGGGAGGCAAGAAACUUGAGGCUCAAGCUUCGGACCGAUGCGAAUGGGAGACGGCAAAAUUAUACAUUCCAUCUUUAAAUUUAAUUUAAAAUUUAGAUAGAGAUAUAUUAGAAUAAUUUUGAAUUUGGAGUUGGGAUAUUUGAAAAAUAAUAUAAUAUAUUAGUUUAUAUAUUUUAAGAAAAUAAAAGGGUUUUUUUUGCAAAUGCCCCCUGAAAAAAUUUUAUUUUAAAAAUAACCCCGUCAAAAUUUAAUUUGCAAAAAUGGCCCUGACCCUGCCACGCAGGCGCCACGUCAGCGCCACGCGUGUAGGGCUGGACCAGUGUUAAGUUGAACACGGUAAAUCAUUCACCGUGUUCAAACACGAUUUUUUAGGGAUUUCAACGGGCCGGGCCGGGCCGGUUUGGAUCUCCGAACCCGGCGGGUUUUAAAAAUCCAUACCCAUAUAACUUUAAUAUAUGGAUAUGGGUAUGGAUUUUUAAAACCCGCAGGACUCGGAUUCGUGUUCGGGUUUUAAUUUGAUUUUCAGAUUCGAUUUCGGGUUUUUAAAAAUCCGAUUCAAACCCGACCCGUUGACAUCCCUAAAAGAGAAGAAAAAAAAUAUAAAUAUGAAAUAUGAUGAAUCAUUCACCGUGUUUGAACACGGUGAAUGGUUCNAAUAAUAUAUAUAAAGAGAGAGAAUGACUAUUGUGCUAUUAGGAACAUAGUAGCCCUUAUGUUAUUAAUUUUUUAACCAUCUAUUAAUUUGGGUGAGAGAAAGAAGAGAAAUUAAGGAGCAAUUGGGAGUCUUAAUUUCUCUUCUUAUCCAAACCGUUAGGAGCACAAGGGUUGCUGUGCUUCUAAUGGUACAGCAGCCCCACUUAACAAAUAUAUAUAUAAUUUAGCUGGAAUACUAUUGUCAGUAUUUGGUGGACCUUUUUACUAUUUACUUUUUAAUAUUUUGAUAAAAAAUUAUAGCGUUAGGAUGAUAAUAGUCCCUUGAGGUUGAGUCGUAGUGCCCCUAGAGUUUAAUAGUAGUACAUGAAAUAAUAUUGAUUUAAUGAUACAAAUAAUCAGAAAAGUAAAUCUAACGGUUAAAAGGUGGAUAGUAAAAGAGCCGAAUUCCAACUCAACUCACUCCCUCUCUAUGUAUACUAGUGGAGACCCGCGCUUCGCGGCGGGAAAUCUACGUAAUUUUUAAAAUAUUUUAAACAAUAUUUUUAAUGUUUUAAUUUUUAAAUCUAAUUUAAAAUUUUAAACAUAAAAAAAUUAAAUAUAAAAAUUAUAUAUAGUAAAUAAAUAUAUAUUUAUAAAUAAAAUUAGAUAUAUACAAAUUAGAUUUAAAAUUUAAAAUUUAAAAUUUAAAGUUGUUAAAUUCUCUCUCUCUCUCUUUCUCUUUCUCCUCUGAUUCCUCUCUCUCUUUCUCUCUCUCCCUCUCUCUCUCUCUCUCUNNNNNNNNNNNNNNNNNNNNNNNNNNNNNNNNNNNNNNNNNNNNNNNNNNNNNNNNNNNNNNNNNNNNNNNNNNNNNNNNNNNNNNNNNNNNNNNNNNNNNNNNNNNCCCCCCGUCGGUGGACGCCCGUGCGCCCGCCCCGCUGCCGCGCCCGUGCCCCGGAGCCCCCUCUGCUACCGCCCGCGCGCCCCCCGAUGUAAAACAUAAGUCAAAAGUUAUUGGAUUUAGAGAAGUAAAACAUAAGUCAAAAGUUACUUGUGCUGAAAUUGGAAUGAAAACAGAAGAUUUAUAAUUUUCUGUUGGAAACGGGACAAAUAAAUUAGCAGAAAAUUUACAGUGUCAGAAAAUUAUGAAAACUAGAGAAUAUGUCAGAAUUAUUUUUAUGAGGCUAGAUUUAAAGUUUUAUGUCAUUCUGACACCCGGAAGGUGAAAAAUAAAAUCCGACAGUUAUCUGAUAAAGAUUACAGUUCAGUAUAGCUUUUAGUGACCAAAUGGAGUUGAAACUGAAAGAUUAAAAUUUUUUUCUUUAAGUAAAACCGAAUAUGACUGUCAAAUUUGAGCUCAAACGGAUAUUCAGAGGGUUCCGGCGAAAGAUAUCAGAUUUCGAACUGCCUGAAGUGAAUAGUGUUUGAGAGAGAUAAUUAUAAAGAAGCUUUUGCUUAUUC
This 47981-nucleotide long non-coding RNA is filed under the name Ananas comosus (pineapple). RNAcentral's name for it is "long non-coding RNA (ACOM_LNC003089)". Lineage: Eukaryota; Viridiplantae; Streptophyta; Magnoliopsida; Poales; Bromeliaceae. The record is from RNAcentral.